CCUGACUGCAGCUGCUGCUGGUCGCUGGCUCCCCACGACCAGCCAGCAGCAGCUGCCAGUCAUGCAAGUCAGUCACUGUGGGUGUGCAGCCCCAAGCCACAUCUGCCCACAACCGAGUGACGGAUUCCAAGCAAGAAUUGCCCAGCCGAGCCCCAGUUAACAGACCAUGAGAAAUAAUGCGUGGGAACAAGGUGUGAAAUUUCUUUGUUCAUCUUUUUCUUCCAGUUCAUAAGAGCUUUUUGUCAAUGAGGGAUAAUAACUCUUUGCCUGAUGUUUUAAUACUAGACAUUUCCCCCCAUUUUGCCAGGUAUCUUUGUUCUGCUAUAUGGAGAUUUUUUGUUUUGUUUUGUUUUUGAUGUAGUCAGUUAUUUCAGUUAUUUGCUUCUAGGGAUUCUGCUUUCAUCUGCUCUUUCAUAGGCCUACUCCCCAACAAAUCUGUGUUCUAAAUCUAUACUUAUCUGAUCAUAUGUGUGUGAAACUAACAAAUUUGUUAUUGAGCACCUAUUCUGUGGCCACUUAUUCUCUGAGUUGCUAAGUAUACAGUAAUGAAUAAGAUAGAAUGGGACCAGGUCUUCAGUGAGCUCAGUUUUCCUAUUGUAAAGUAUGUCACCUGCAGUGAUGAGCGGAAUCUGAGCUGGUAGGCUGCUACGGAAGCCCAUAGUGGAGGCACCUAUUAACUUCCAGGGAGGUCAAGGAAAGCUGCCUAUGGGAAGUGAUGUAUGUAAGUUAUCUAUGGCUCUGCACUGGAAGUUUUUUACUUGUAAAUUCAUUUUACAUUUAAGUCUUUGACCUAUCAGGAGUUUAUGUAAGUUCAAGUAGCAAUUACCUAGCAAAUACAGUAUAAGUGUUAUUGUUUUCAUAUACUGGAUUUCUAUGUGCACUCUCAUCUGUUUUAGGGUCCUUUAUCCUGUUUUAUAAACCUAUCUCUUUUGCUUCAAAGGUGCUAUCCUUAUAGUUGUUAUUUUAAAUUUGUAUUUGAGCUAAAAUAAAAAAUCACUUGCUUUGCUUCAGUUAAUAUUUUGUACCCUAAAUUAUUUUUCUUAACAUGCACUUGUACUUUGUUCUACCUUUAUAACAAAAUUACAGUGUUUUUAUUAUAGUUAUAUAUUUUUUAAAAAACAUAUUUUGCUUAUUAUAUUUACUAAAGUUUUUAGUUUCAUGUUUGUAAAUGAUUAUUAUUAAAAGAUUACACACCCUAAAAAUGCACCUAACUUAUAUGGGCCACUUAAUGAAGAAUAAUUUCACACCCCUACACCCCUUCAUUGCUGUCACCCAAGUGGAGGGCCUCAUGUGUCCCUUCAGAUCUGUCCACUGUUAGAGGCAAUCGUAUACAGAAUCGGUACUAAGCAUUCUCUUGAUUUUCUUUAUAAUUUUACCAUAUAUGUAUUUUCCCAAAAACCAUAUUAUUUUAUUUGCCUUGUUUCAAUUUUUUCCAAGUAGAAUCAUUCUAAAUGUUGGUGGGUUUUUUUUGUAACUUCCUUCUAUGGUUCAACAUCAAGUGUGUGUAUAUAUAGAUGGAUAUAUAGAUAGAGAUAGGUGGAAAUGGAGUAUGCCAUAUGCCCUUAUUCUUACUGUGAUGUAGUAUUAUAUGUGUAUUCCAAGUAGCUUUUAUUCAAUCUAUUGUUGAUGAAUUUUGAAUGAUUUCUAUAUUUUUGCUAAUAAGGAUAAUGCUUCUCUGAACAUAUCUUGAUUCAUGUGUAAAAGUCUCUCUAAAAUAGAUAUAGAGGAGAAAAAUUGCCAUGUUGUGAAGUAUGCAUACAUUCAACUUUAUUAGUUAAUGCCAAAUUGUUUCACAGAAUAUUAAGCCACUACACUCCUGCAAGUAGUCUUUAACAACUCCUAUUGUUUAAUAUUCUUGCCAACUAUCAGUAUUCACUGCUUCAUCUUUGUUCAUCUGAUAGACAUGAAAAAGAUACCCUUAUGUUUCUUAUUAACAUUGUCUUGAUAUCUAAGACUUAAAACAUUUUUACCUUUAUGGCCGUAUGUUUCCUCUUCUGUUCACAGUCAUUCUUCAUUUUUCUAUUAGAUUAUUCAUAUCUCUCUCUCUCUCUCAUACUGGAUAUUGAAUCCAGGUGGUGCUUAACCAUUAAGCCAUAUCCUUAGCACCACCCCACUCCCAUUUUUAAAAAAAUUUGAGACAGAGUCAUACUAAGUUGCUCCGUCCUCACUAAGUUGUUGAUGCUGGCCUCAAACUUGCGAUCCUCCUGAGUUGUUGGGAUUAUGGGCAUGUGCUACCAGACCCUACGCUAUUUACUUCUUUUUUGAUGACUUGAAGGAUUUCCUUUUGAGAUUAUUAUAUAUAUAUAUCCAAUAGCUUCUCUCUCUUAACUAAUUUUAUUUUCUUUCUGUGACAGAGAAUUUAUCUUCUGAUGAGCUGAAAUUCUUGAUUUUAAUGUAAUCAAAUAUUCUAACCUUUUCUUUUAUGGCUAUUUUUUCAAUGUCUUACAUAGGAUAUUUUUCCAUCCUAAAAUCAUAAAGAUAUUCUCUACUUUUUCUAAAAGGCUCAAACUUGGCCAUUCAAUUUUUAAGUCACAAAUGUAUCUUGAAUUGACUUUGUGUCAAGUGUGAAUAAUAACGCAUAUUCAUUUUUUACUUUCCAAAAGACAAUCCCCUCCCUCUUAACUGAACAGUCCUUGCUUAUCUGAUUGAUUCUAUAUUCAUUGAAAAUGACAUCUUUUAGGACUCUCAAAUUUAUCAGAGGUAUUUAGCCCCUACCCACCUACCUUAAGCUAGUUUUCACUCCUGUCCCCUGAGAGCUUGACCCACUAAAAUCCAGGCAAACAGCACAGGGGAUACUGCACAAAGCCACUGCUCACGUUUGCCUGCAAAAUCACACUUUCUUUGGUUUCUGGCCUCCAGUUUUCUUCUCUUUGCCAGCUCAGUUCUACCUUUAUAAAAAAUAUAUUUCAAGCAUCCACCUAAGAGAUCUUGCUACACUUUCAAUGAAACAUAUUGCCCUUAAUUUUAAAUCUAAGUCAAAUUCAUCCUUCUUCCAGUUCUCUUGACUUUGCUUAUCAAGUUGGCUUGCUUUCUUGCUUCUUACAUCAUUGUUAUUAUUCUCAUUCUGGUCGACUGAGUUAUGUUUGCAAGAAGUUUUCUAGGAAGGACACAUGAAUGAUUCCAUUCCUGACAAUAUUUUAGUGUUGCCCUCAAAUAAGAAGACAACUUGCUGAGUGACACUGGCUCCCUUCUGCACCCUAGAGAUGUUGUUCCAGUGUCUUGCAUCAGGAAAUGCUCUGGAGGAGUCUGAUAUUUGUCUAAACUCUUGGUCUGUUUUCAUGUCUGUGGGGUGAGGUUUGUGGAGGUAGGGGAAGAAAUCAAGUAAUACUGACCUGUUUUAUGUUUCGGUUGUUGGAUUGUUAUAGAAAUUUCUCUCUGUCUCUUUCUCUCCCAGCUCCUUUUCUUCUGUAAUGUUACUUAACUGCACCUGAAUGCACCUUCAUAUGGGUUGUUAUUUACUAAGUUUUCUUAGGUCACAGUAAACCCUUUCAAUCAGCAGGUAUAGAUCUUCUUUCAUUUUAUGAAAGUUUUCUUAUAUCUUUGACAUUUUAUAUAUUUUUUCACUUAUAUUUGGAUUGUUAUUUUCUAUGUAUUGGAUCUCCAUUGAUUCUUCUUUAUGUGUAUUUGUCUGUGUGUCCUCUAUUCUGUACCAUUGGUCUACAAAUCUAUUUUGGUGCCAGUACCAUGCUGUUUUUGUUACUAUUGCUCUGUAGUAUAGUUUAAGGUCUGGUAUAGUGAUGCCACCUGUUUUACUCUUCUUGCUAAGGAUUGCUUUAGCUAUUCUGGGUCUUUAUUUUUCCAGAUGAAUUUCAUGAUUGCAUUUUCUAUUUCUAUGAGAACUGUCACUGGGAUUUUUAUUGGAAUUGCAUUAAAUCUGGAUAGUGCUUUUGGUAGUAUGGUCAUUUUGACAAUAUUAAUUCUGCCUAUCUAAGAACAAGAGAGAUCUUUCCAUCUUCUAAGGUCUUCUUUAAUUUCUUUCUUUAGUGUUCUGUAGUUUUCAUUGUAGAGGUCUUUCACCUCUUUCAUUGAUUCCCAAGUUUUUUUUUUUUUUUUGAGGCUAUUAUAAAUGGGGUAGUUUUCUUAGUUUACCUUUCAGAGGAUUCAUUAUUGAUGUACAGAAAUGCAUUUGAUUUAUGAGUAUUGAUUUUAUAUCCUGCUGCUUUGCUGAAUUCAUUCCUUAAAAGAAGAAAAAGUCAAUAAAUGACCUAAGAUUAUAUCUCAAAGCCCUAAAAAAAAAUCAACACCAAAAAUACUAGAAGAGAGGAAAUAAUUAAAAUCAGAGAUGAAAUUGAAGCAAAAGAAACAAUUCAAAAACUUGACAAAACAAAAAGUUGGUUCUUUGAAAAAUUGAUAAACCCUUAGCCACGCUAACAAAGGAGAGAGAAAAAUCAAAUUACUAAAAUCCAUGAUGAAAAAAGAAAAUAUCACAACAUACACUACAGUAAUACAGAGGAUAAUUAGAAAAUAUUUUGAAAAUUUGUACUCCAGUAAAAUAGAAAAUAUUGAAGACAUUGACAAAUUUCUAGAGUCAUAUGAUUUACCCAAACUGAAUCAGGAUGAUAUAAACAAGUUAAACAGAUCAAUUUUAAGCAAUAAAAUAGAAGAUGCCAUCAAAAACCUAUCAACCAAGAAAAGCCCAGGACCAGACAGAUUCACAGCUGAGUUCUACCAGACCUUCAAAGAAGAACUAAUACAAUACUCCUUAAAUUAUUCCAUGAAAUAGAAAAAGAGAGAACACUUCCAAAAUCAUUCUAUGAGGCCAAGAUCACCCUGAUUCCAAAACCAGGCAGACACAUCAAAGAAAGAAAACUUCAUACCAAUAUAUCUAAUGAACAUAGAUGCAAAAAUUCUCAUUAAAAUUCUGGCAAAUCGAAUACAAAAACAUAUUAAAAAGAUAGUGCAUCACAGUCAAGUGAUACAAGGUUGGUUCAACAUAUGGAAAUGAAUAAAUGUAAUUAAUCACAUCAACAGACUUAAAGAUAAGAAUAAUAUGAUCAUCUCAAUAAAUGCAGAAAAAGCAUUCGAUAAAAUACAGUACUCCUUCAUGUUCAAAACACUAGAAAAACUAGGGAUAAUAGGAACACACCUCAACAUCGUAAAAGUUAUCUAUGCUAAGCCCAUGGCCAACAUCAUUCUAAAUAGAGAAAAAUUGAAAGCAUUCCCGCUAAAAAUUGGAACAAGACAGGGAUGCCCUCUUUCACCACUUCCAAUUCACAUAUUUCUUGAAACUCUAGCCAGAGCAUUUAGACACAUGAAAGAAAUUAAAGGGAUAUGCCUAGGGCCUGGGGAUAUAGCUCAGUUGGUAGAGUGUUUGUCUCACAUGCACAAGGAACUGGGUUUGAUCCCCAGGGAUAUGUAUAGGAAAAGAAGAACUCAAACUAUCACUAUUUGCUGAGGAAAUGAUUCUAUACUUAGAGGAUCUGAAAAUUCCACCAGAAAACUUAUAGAACUAAUAAAUGAAUUCAACAAAGUAGCAAGAUAUAAAAUCAAUACCCAUUGAUUCUACUUUGUAAUUUCAUUUCUAAUCUCUUACAACUUAGACCUCUUCCUUAACUGUUUUUGCGUUUUUCUCAAUUUUACCCUUUAUCUAAUGUCGGUUUUUCAUAGUAUCAAUAUUCUUCUUGUACAAUUAAAUUUCUCUAACUAGAUGGCCUGGUGGUCAGGCAGUGCUUCAGAUUUAAAACUUCAUGUUUUGAACAUGAAGGAGUGCUGUAUUUUGUCGAAUGCUUUUUCUGCAUUUAUUUAAAUCACACAAUUUUUAAAAACUUCUAUGAAGGGUAAAAAUAAAAUAUAUUAUUGACUUCACCAUGAAAGGAAGAAAUAUAUAUAUAUAUAUAUAUAUAUAUAUAUAUAUAUAUAUAUAAAAUAUUCAUAAAUGUAUUAUACAAAUUAGCAUUUUAAAUUUCUUUACAUCUUCUUAUUCUCCUCAUGCAUUCCAUUUUAAGAAGGAACUAAGAAAAAAUAUCCAGAACUGAGUAACUUUGACCACACCCAAAGAGUGAGCUGACAAAUUACUUUCCCACUCUAUGAUCCUAUAAUAUAUAAGCUAUAAUUAUGUCUUAUACUGUUAAAAGUUUCCAUCAACUUCUCUAACACAUUAAGAGCAUCUUUUACUAUUAUUUUCUCCCUUUUUAAUGAAAUAACCAAUGCUUCCUACCAAAAUCAAGAGCCACCAAAGAAAAUCCUAUGCAAAGUAUCAAAAGAAAGAUAUGGCAAUCAGUGUUCCUCAUUCUUUAGAAUCUAGAAGAAAUCCAAAGAAAUCCUCUCUGUAUGUAGAUAUACUCAGGCCACUGCUGAGCACUUCUCCCAUCAGGUUGGAAUAAAAUUGCAUUGUUUCAGCUAUGGAAUGACUUUACAGAUUCUAGUUUCAAUUAUUAUGUCCCCUUUUGUGAGUGUGAGGCUUAAAUGCAGUGCAAGGAGCAAUUCUAAAAAUACCUGCUGAACAGAGAGUUGUAUAGACCAGAACUCCUUAUUCGUCAAUGUAUUUUUAAAAGCACAUAUGAGAAAGUUUUUGUAAGGACACUCUUGCCCCUUAAGAGUAGGUGGAAGUGCUACUCCAAAGUUGUCAUUUUCAAGGGAAAACUCUGUGGGCGGCUUCCUUUAUGCCUGGACAAAUUAGAGCUGCACAGGGAUUCGCUAAUUAGUAUGUGGUGAUGGCGAUGGCUCGGUUCGGUGGCCCUGCCUCAGGGCUUGGAUCAGGAUAACACGAGUAUUUUUGAAAGUUUCUUCUUCAAGGACAAUACCUAGAAGAAAAGAUGAAGAGAACUGGAAUUAUUGGACUUGGAAGAAAGAAUACCCAGGGCUCAACUUGCUAUUUUUCAAAUAGCUCAGAAGAAUGACAAUUCUGUGUGGUCCUCAAAAAGGAAAAUUAGGUAAUUACAGCAGGAGUUGUUAUACACCAAACAAAGAACUUUCCAAUUAUAAAGAUCAAGAAGAAAAGCAGUAGAGAAACUGCAAAAUAAUAACAACAACAAUUAUAAUCGGUAUGAUUUAUGGGGCAUUUUAUGUGCCAUUUUUAAUUUUAAGUGCUUUAUAGAUAUUAUCUCAUUUAAUCCUCAUAAUAAUGUUCUAUUCUGUAUUGUACUUCAUCUUUAGUCUUAUUUAUUCAUUUAACUAUUAUUUUUGAGGGCUUAGCACAGGCCAAUCACUGUUCUGGGGAGUAGGAUUAGAAAUUCAAAUAUUGACAAGGACCCUAUAGCUUUGUCUUAAAGCUUUUAUUUGAGUAUGGGCUGAAGGAGAGUGAAAGUAAAGAAAUAAACAAAGCAACAGAAAUAAUAAAUUAAUGAGUGAAAACUAAUAGCAAAGAAUUGAAAAUAGAGGGCUAAGGCAAUUACCAGUGAGCUAGGUAACCAGUGAAAGUAUCUCCAAGAAGGUGACAUUGAUUGACUGGCGGGAGACAGCUGGGAUUAGGGAAGAGGCAAGAACAUUGCUGGUAGAGAGGGUUAGGUGCAAGGGCAGCAAUAAAUUUGGCUGCUUCUAGAAGCCCAAAGAAGACCACCAGAGGAUAGUGGAGAAGGGGAAGCGGUGCUAGGUGAAGACCCAGGAGCAGCAAAGAACAGGUUGGGGCCCUGGGAAGGUCAGGGUGAAGACUGAUUGUACACUAAGUGUUAUGGCAAGUCCAGGGAGGCUUUUAAACUUUUAAACUAUCAGUUUAUAUUUCUUACAGAUUUCUGUAUUUUCCUUCAUACUUCUUAAACGUCACUCUGUCUUCCAUGUAUGGAGGCAAGAAUGGAAGCACAAAGGUCAUCUCAAGGACACCUUUCCCUGGAAGCAGGAAGUGAUUUCCCCAGGAAAAGGAACCAGGCCGCUGACUACUCCUCUGUGCUAUUGUUUAGUCACAACUGGAGCCUAAGAAAAAAAUCUGCCACUUCACAGCAUGGGGCAGAGCCCCAUAUAAAUAUCUAUAGUGGUAAACAUGGUCUUCCACUUUUAUUCUGGACUCUGAGUCUUGUGAGAAGUCACCUGCCAACAUGCCCUAAUUUCUACACACACAUACACACAAAUAUUAUACAAACAUGUGUAUCUAUAUGCGGCUCUUAUCCUGCUUCAAAUGAAUACACACAUGCACAGGGACGGGUGCAUGCACACAUACACACUGUGAAAAAAAAUCACUUUUGCACUGGCUUUAAUCAUGUGGAAAUGCCUUAGAAUGGAAUGCGCCUGGCUCGGGUCAAAUGUUAUCUGUAAUGCAAGGCCAACGCAGAGAAAUUUUUUUCCCUUUCUAAUAGUUUCCCAGAAAAAUCAAUAGCCAUGAAGUCUCAAGGAACUUUUUGUGCCAGUGUGAAACUCAGACUGUCAAUGUUGCCGAAAGGAAAACAAGCUUCUGCGGAGGUCACCCUUUUCAUUUUACGUGUAAGGAGGAAUUGGUAAUGUGACACAAAGACCCUUGUCCCUUGAUGAAUGGGACACUAUCAAACGAAUCAUGAUCAUUGAUGAUGUCACAUACACAUAACCCAUAUUUGUUGAAGGUAUCUAUAGGUCAGGUUUUAUUUCAAGUGUUUCUAGAUAUUUUCCAAGAGGUAGAAAAUGUCUCCAGAUCUGCUAGUGAUGUGUGUAUCCAAAAUUGAGAGGAAUCUCUAUAUUUUUCUUUGGGACUUAAUAGAAACAUUUUUCUUUUAGGGAAAUUUAUUAGACAAAAGUAGUGCCUGGUUGUUCUGUUCCUCCACCCAAAAAAGAGUUCAGGGGAUUUAAUCUGGAAGAGCUCCCUAAUGCUGAAAAUAUUAAAACAAACAAACCAGGUACAUCACUGAAAUCACACAGAGAGGAAAAUACUAAUACAGAAAGCAUUUUAUUCUUUUCUAUGUAUCUCUGUGUAAAUGGUGUACUUUGAACACAAAAAAAGGACCCAGAAUCAAGGAAUCAUAGUUAAUAUUAUUAUGUAAGAUAACUAUGAAAACAUUUGAAGCAAAAAAUAGAAAGCUUUCUCUUAAUCCUUCUACCAAAAUUCAGGACUUUCACAUUAGAUAAUCACUGAGAAAUAUCGCCUCUGGUUCCUUUUCUUAGUGACUAAUGUCACAUUCACAUUACUAUGUUUUUAGUUAUUUUGAUUUUAAAAGUAGUGUCUUCUCACUAACUAAAUCAUGGAAAGUUAAGAACAUUACAAAGAUGAAAAGAAAUCAUCCAUAAUCCCACUUAGUGACCUUAACUUUUUGGUUGAUUUCAUUUAAUUUUUUUCUUAAAUUUGAUAUUUUUACACAGUUAAGGAAAAACUGUAUGCACACUUAAAAAAAACUGUUCUUUUAUACCCAUGGGCAAUUUCCUGUCAUUAAAAAUUUUUCAUAAAUGCUUUUUUGAUAGGCAUAAAAUAAUAACUUUCUAAACCUUUAUUUUUAAACAUUUAAGCUACUUCUAAUGUUUUGUUACUAUUUUUAAAAAGCAUUCCAAAUGCAAUAUUUAUGACAUCCCAGCACACCUCAGAGAAGAGUAAAAUAGUUUAUUAUCCAUGAAUAAGUAAAUAAAGAUAGUAUUCUUUCCUCAUUUCUUGCCUCAACUUGGGUUACAAAGCUAUUAAUUGAAAGACAGAAUAGAGGGUUCUCCCCAAGUAUUGCAUAUCAUUGAAAGGAUAAAAGGCCUCAGCAGAGACCUGAAAGUUAUAGUUCUUUUUUUUUUUUUUGCCCAUCUCACUACCAUUUCAUAUCUUUCCAAGAAAAUUGGAAAUUAAUUCACCCAAGAUCUAUUACAUAUCUGGAAAUGCUCCUGUGCAUCACAGCUUUCAAUUUCCUCCAAAAUCAAACAGUGAUCUAGAAUGUGCCCCCACAUAGUACCACUGGGCCAUAUAACUUGAGGAGUACCAUCUGUAGUAUAUUCUGUGUGAAGUUCUCCCAUGGAGUAGUGCACGACAUUGCCCCAGACUGUUUCCCCAUGUUUAUGCAAGAGCCAAAUGAACAACAGAAGGACAGAGCAACCUCUGGCUACAUAAAAAACACUUUUGUUACUCUCACCUCAAAGCUAAUGCUAAAAUCUCCUUUGGCUAUAAUACCCAAGGCUGAUUGAUGGACUUCUCAAAUGAUUUUGAACACAGAAAGACUUCUUAGGUGACAUCAAACAUACAGAGACAGAGCUUCUCUAAGACAAACUCUGAACCAGACAACAAAGAAACCCUCAGCCUCCUCUACCAGGUUUGUCACUUGAAGCAACAGUUUUAGGCUGGGUGAAGGUCAGGAACAUUGAGAGAAAUAUUGACUGAGGCACAGAGCACAAGAGAGACUGAAAGUUAAAGAUGGAAGAAGGACAUAUAAAAAAUACUCCACUAAUCAAACUUCUAAACUCAGCACAAGGUAAUAUUAGAAAACUUUGAAGUCAGUGACACACUGAUGCUAACCAUGACAGCCAAAAACCAAACAUCAUUCAAUUCCUGAUUAGAUUGACUCAGCACUACCACCUGCCUCUCCAACAGAUCACCUAGCAGAAGAGAUAUAUGUCCACUUCUAGGCAUAAAGAAAUUUUGGACCUCAGUCUCUACUCUUUUACAUGUUCAAUUAGUCGAUCAAUUAAAAAUUAUAAGAUACACACACAAAAAAAAAAAAAAACAAGGACUAACAACACACUGUCAAAAGACAAAGCAACCAACAGAACCAGACUCAGUGAUCAACCAGAAGUUGAAACUAUCAAAGAGGAAAUUUUAAAUAACUAAUAUCUUAAAGACUCUAGUAGAAAGGGUGAGUAAUGUAAAAACGAAUGGAAAAUUCCAGCAAAGCAAUGCAUGUCAUAGGAAAAAAAAUAAAAAUGCUAAAAAUGGCACAUGUUGGAACAGGGAUAAAGAAUGCCUUCACCUAGUGCUCAUGAGACUUAACAAGCCAAGGGGAAAAAUCAGUGAACUUGAAAGUAGAUCAAUGGAAAUUACCCAAACAAAUACAAAGAGAAAAAAAAGAAUAAAUAAGAAAAAAAAAAAAAAAAAAAAAAACAGCAAGUAAGACCUGUGGGUCUAACGUGUGUGGAGUAGAAGAAAUAUUUGAAGAGAUAAUAGCUGAUAAUUUUCCAAAAACAAUGAAAUUCAUUAAGCCACAGGUCUAAGAAACUCAGAGUACCUCAAACAGCUCAAAUAACAAAGUAAAGAAGGAAGAGGAGGAGGGAUAAAAAUGAAACUCACACACAACUAGACCAAUCAGCUAAGUGUUUCAAAACUAAAGAUAAAGAGAACAUCUUGAAGAAAAAGAAAAUUAUGUACAGAGGAAUAAAACUAAGAAUGACAGCAGGUUUCUCAUCUGAAAUUAUGCAAACCAGAAGAUAGUAGAAUGACACCUUUAAAAAUGGCAAGAAAAAAAAACAAAAACUUCUAGCACAGAAUAUCUGUACAAUGAGAAUGUAUUUCAAAAAUGAAAGACAAAUAGAGGAUUUUUCAGAUAAACAAAACUGAGAGAAUUACCAACAGGCCCAUACUACCAAAAAAAAAAUGUUAAAGCAUAUUCUAUAGGUUUAAGAAAAACAAUGCUAGAUCAAAACUUGGAGGGACUGGGGAUUUAACUCAGUCAGUAGUGUGCUUGCCUCACAUGCACAAGGCUCUGUGCUCAAUUCCCAGCAACACACACACUCACACACACACACACACACACACAAAUUUAGAAUAUGAAGUCAGCAGAACUCCAGAAAUUGUUGAAAUUAAGUUUUUUCUAGCUCUAGGUGAGCUAUUUAUAAUACAGAAGUCAAUCUAGCAGACUCUAUUGGUGCCCACCAGAUCUCCUUUACUGGGAUAAUGUACCUUUUCCAUCUGGGGGAGGUGGGCAAGGGCACUCUCAGCUCACAGCUGUACUCUUCUGAACUUGCCCUUGGCCUAUGGCAGCCUCUUGGACAUAGACUAUGUAGGAAGCUAUGCCUUGUUUCCAAAGGUAGUCCUAUGGUUUGAAAGUAGCUCCCAAAAUUCAUGUGUUGAAAAUUUAAUCCCCAAUGUAAUGGUAUUGGGAAAUUGGACCUAAUAAGAAUUGAUUGGGUUAUGAGGGCUCUGCCCUCAGGAAUGGAUUAAUGGUGUUAUCACAGGAGUAGAUUAGUCAUCACAAAUGUGUGCUUCUUAUAAAAGCAAGUUUGGUCCCCUCUUGCUCUCUCCUUUGCCUUCUCUUGCUUUUCUGCCUUCCACCAUGGGAUGAUGCAGCAUGAAGACCUUACCAUAUGCAGUGCCAUGCUCUUGGGAUUCUCAGCCUCCAAAACUGUAAUCCAAAUAAACUUAUGUUAAUUAUACAUCAUCCAGUCUUGGAUAUUCUGUUAUAGCAGCAUAAAAUGGACAAAGACAGGUGGUCCAUAGCCUAUGACUAACAGAUGUGGAGGACCAAAAAUGCUUGGUCCCUGCAUUAGGUUGGCAUACUCUGUGGUACCAUUCAUGUUUCAAAGUUCCCUUUGGGGUCAGCUGAGGUUAACUUCCUCUGAAUCCACAUCUGUGCCUAGUUUAUUCAUCAGUCUGAUCCUGUUCCAUCCUUUCUGGUGAGUUCCACCUGAAAAUUCUCCCUCACAAACCCCCUUUCUUAGUCCCUGCUUUUGAGGACCCUCACCUAAAGCACUCAACAUUUCACCAAAAAGCAUAAUAUUUGCUAUAAGCCUUUGUACAUGCUGCUUAUCAAAUGAAUAACUUCUCUUCUAUUUUUAUUUUCCUGAAUAGUUCAUAUCAAGAAUGAAUAUUUUUACAAAAAUUUUCCCACAUUUAUUCAUAUGAUCAUAUGAUGUUUCUCCUUUAUUUGGUUAAUGUAGUGACUUAUGCAGAAUUGACUUAGAAUUCUUGGAACAAAUGCAACUUGGUCAUAAUUUUUUAAAAAAAUAAUUUGCUAAUCCAUUAACUUAACACUUUUUACAACUAUCAAGGCACAACCUGAUUUAGAAAAAUUCCAAAUAUAUUCAAGCCUUCCAAAGCCACUAAGCAUAAGAAUAUCACUGGCACAUUUCAUAUGCAAUGGGUUUGCGCUGUCCUAGGUCUACAAAAGGAGCAGUCCUGCCCAUGGGUUAGGGUGGAACAAGAAGGUCCAUAGCACCCAUUAUGUCUGGCUUCUAAAAUAAUUUUUUGCUUUACAUGGCAGUCAAACUCUAUGCUUUAGUCCUUGGACAGAGCCCUUUGAUGAUCAAAAUGCAUGGCUGAUAGAUGGAUUGUGAAAAUAAGGAAUAUAAAAUAAACCAGAGAACUGGUAGAGAACAGAUUUUUAAUAAAUGUUGGCUAUAAAAAUAUUUUUAUAAAGGUUCUAUCAUAGAAAACCUUCCUCAUCUUACUUUCUUCAUUUAAGAAGGGGAAGAAUAGAAGUUCAGUGGAUUAGACAAAGGUGAAUAAAGGGAAGGGAGGAGUUACAGGAAUAGGAAAGACAGCAGAAUGAACCUGACAUCACUUUCCUAUUUACGUACAUGAAUACACCACAGCAAAUCUCCACAUCAUGUACAACCAUGAGACUGGGAUCCUAAUUAGAAUAAGAUGUACUCCAUGUUUGUAUAAAUAUGUCAAAAUAUACUCUAACAACAAGUAUAACUAAAGAGAACAAAUUUUGAAAACAUGAAUUUUCAAGUAUGGAAUAAUGUCACUGGCAUUACUCAGCUUCACAUCAUUAUACCAAAGACUCAAAAUUCAACUUAUAAAGAGAAAAGUUCUAUCUUGACUCACAGUUGGCCCUUGCUUUCAGGCCUGUAGGAAGGCAACGCAUCAUGGCAGAGCCAAACCUCUUACCUCAUGACCAGGAAGCAGAAGAAAGGAAAGAGAAGGGGCUGGGUCCCAUUAUCCCCUUCAAGGGCACACUUCAGUUAUCCAAAAACCUUCUGCUAGACACUUCUUCAAGUUUCCACCACCUCCAAUAACUCCAAGCUGAGGACGGAAGUUUCUAGCACAUUAACUGUUGUGAAUCAUUUAAGACCCAAACUAUAGCGGCUACCAGAGAACCCUAAAAUACACAAGCUCUCUGGAAUGAUGAUUUUACCCUGGUCCAACUAAUUUAUUCAGUUUUUCUUGUGGCCCCUAUUCUUGAAAUGGUCAUCAGGGCUGAUGACAGCAUCUUUAGCUACAAUAUUAAAAGAUUUCCAUGUUUUUAUCUACUGCAAUUGUAUUUUUGCAUUUGCUGCUAAAUUUGAAAUGCUUUUAAGGCUGUGAAUGUAUCUUUUUUCCUGUCUUCACUAUAAAACUAUUAAAGACACAAGGAGUUGCAUCAAUUAUUAUUGAAUUAGAAACAACUAGCCCUUUAGGAUCAACCUCAGACCUUGGCUCUACUAACACUAUUCUUUCACCAAACGUGUAAUGAAGAAAGCGUCCACAGUGGCAAGGAAGACAGAAAUACUCUGCCAAAAAGUAAUCCUGAUAAACUCUGGAAUCAUCAGCUUUCUCUAAAUUUCUAUCAUCAUUCCCAUGAAUUUAUGAUGCCCAGAGCUUACUGAAUAAUUGCAACCUGAAGAUGUGCUGGUUACCUGUGAAAAAAAAAUUUAAAAAAAAAAAAACUUGUAGGUUGUCUACUGGCCAAUGACUUGCAACUUUUUUUUUCUUUUUCUUUUUCUUUUUUUGUUUCAGGAACCCUCCCAUGGCUCAAUUUAAUCAUUCCAUCAAUGAGAAAUCAUGCCCUUUGUCAGAUCAAACCACUGCCAUAGGAGAAACUGGCCUCUCCCUGACUCUCCCAGACUCAAUCUGUUCCUUCCCACACUUCAUAAACAUACCUCCCUAAACAAUCUUAUUGGUGGUACAAUUAGUAUUGAUUUGCCACGAGUAGCUUCCACUUCUUCCCACGACCCCAACUUUGCUCCAUUUUUGGAGAAAACAACCAUGAAAAAUGUCCAGUGUGCCUUGCAUUCUUGGCUCUUACUUUACACCAGUGUCCUGAUCCUAAGCAUUUUGGUUUAAACAACAGCAUAUUAAGGUACACCGCUUAAUCUUAUUUCAUAGAUCUCAGAUAUCAUUGGAAUUUAGAGCUAGAAGGAGCCUCAGUAAUUAGUCAACUCUAGCAUUUUACAAAAAUCAAACCCCAGAGUAAAUGCCUUAGCCUAGAUCUAGAGAUAUCAAGUCUGGACCCUUUCUAAUGAAUACAUGAUAUCACCCUUUAUGCAUGAACCAAAUCUGAGAAGAUGAGCAGGACAUGAAAAUGUUCCCUGGAUCAGUAUGGUCAUUUAAUUUAAUCAAGCAAGACCUCAGUCCAGGUCCCCUCCCCCUAUAGGACAGAAUAGCAGGUCAGGCCUGAACAUGGACACCUCCUAGGGAGUCCCCACCUUAUCCUGAGGGAGAAAGGGGCCCAUGCUCACUUUCAACAGAUCUCUCUCACCUGCCUGAUCCAUGGAUCUUCAUAACUGACACAUGUUAAGGUUUUAUUAGAAGAGGCCUCAAACACCUUACAAAGGAACAUUUUAGAAUCUCCCUGUGCUACUACUUGUCCUGCCCACCCCAUCCUCACACUCCGCCUCCUGGGAAUGGCUCCACAAAGAGGAGAGAGCAGAGAGUCUGGGAAGAGGGCCUGCUAAAAGCUGCUUUCCUUUCAAUAGAAAAUUAUUUGUCUAAGCACCAUGUGAAUAGAAUUUAGAAACUUGAACUUUGGGUUAUGAUCCAAUACCUGAAAUUCCUUUCAUUCCAUAAUUAAAGAUAAGGCUUUCAGUGUAAACAUAGCAGGCAUAAGCAUUCUCCAGACUCAUUAAUGCCCAUGAAGGGGAAAAAAAAAAUGACUUGACACGGAUCAUUUCUUUAAGCUGAUUUUGAAAAAGAGGAGGGAAAGGAGAGGUCAAGGGCACUAAAGGGAGAGUGAGCACAGGAUUAAGGAAGGCUGGAGGCACUGAGGAGAAACUGCCCACUUCAUCAUCUGCCCCAGUGAUGCUAGAUUUAAUUGUUUCCAGGAUCUGAUCCUCACAUUUUUUUAACCUCCUUUGUCCACAAAGCCAAGUGGUAUAGCAGAAUGAACCUGACAUCACUUUCCUAUGUACAUACAUGAAUACACAUUUUUUAAUGGACCAGGGACACCUGGUAAGUGGCAUCUACAGAGAAAGAUGAAUGGGAAAUACAUCCUUAUAAACAGGUGUACUAGAAAAGGAUUUCAAAACAUAAUGCAUUUGUGCUAUUGAUUAUUAGAUUGCCUAAUCAGGAUCAUAUUUUAUGUUAGUAUGACCCAACCAAUGGAGGAUUCAAAGUGAUAAAGGAACCAUGGAUUAAUAGAAAAUAGCAAAAUCAGUUUCCUGAACACUCAGCAGUGUUGUAUGUACUAGAAAUCAUAUCCAAAAAUUGGAAUAUAAAAUCACUAUACACAUUAAAGGAAUUUUUAUACUGGUAUAAUUGUUUCCACAAAUGGACAAGUGACAUUAGAAGCAAUGAUAAUAUUGAAGAAAUGGUAGAAUGUAGUCUCUUGGUACUUUCUGAAGAGAGGGAUGAAAGAGAGGAAGAUCAUACUCCUGUUUACAGACCUCCCUGGUUAAUGUGUAAUGGAUGAGAUGAGUGGCAGCUAAUAUUUGCCUCUCUUGUUUACUGUCUGGAUGGUGGCCAGACACCUUCCCUCUCGGCCUGCCAGUGGGUUUGGGGUUGUAAGGAACGUAAGGAAUGCAGUAAGUGGCUGAUAGGGUCUCUGUGCCACGUGUAGGCUUGCUAAAGAAGACAUUCAAGAAGACCUCCGGGGACAUCUGGUGACAUUCCCUCAGGUGGGCAUGCCUCCUUGGCACUGUGGUAAAUAGUCUCACUAAAAACAGCUGGGGUGAGCUGUGCUAAAGCAGAGCUGGGCUCAGCCCUGCCAAACUGCUCCACUGAGGAGGACAAAGAAAGGCAAAAUGUCAGGAUCCAGAGGAAGUUCUCCUUCUGUCCUAUCCCUGCUGGGAAACACAGAACAGAGUGCUCCUCUGUCUGUAACUUGUCCUGCCCUGAGCGGUACUGAGGCACGCCUGGCCCUCCUCUGCAGGCUUACAGAGAUGUGGAAGGCCUUCCUCCCCAUCCUUCCCCAUCUUCUUUCUAAAUUCUUCCCUCUUGCCUGGUGUGAUGUGGGACGAGCCAACAGACCAAGACCUUCCCCGACAAAACACAGACAGGAAUUCCAUGGAAGGUACCGUGACCAGACUGCUCCCCUGCUGAUCGUGUCUUGUCUUGUCUCUCACGUGGACCGGCGCGGUUUCACCUACAGAAACAAGAGCUCUGUGAUUCUUCCUCACGUGGCAUGGUUCUGAUGUGGGUCACAAGUGUUCCUCUUAAUAACCCCCACAACUUUCCUCAUUUCCUAAGAAAUCGAGUUCAGAAUUCUGGCAUGGGCUGAGCAGGGCUCUGUUUUGCCCCAGCUUAGCCAAGCAGUUUUGAAGUGAGACUUUUUAUCACAAUGUGAAGGAGGCACGCCCCGCUGAGUGAAAAGAGGCAGGUCUCCUUGGAGGUCUUGAAUAUCUUCUUUAGCAAGUUUACGUGUGGCACAGGGACCCUAGGGCUGGUACCAUCCUAUCUUUCCUACCUCCCCUCUCACCCCAACUUAAACUGUUUUUUUUGGGGUGGCUCUAUGCUUUCCUCCUUUUACCACAUUCACCUCCUUCUACCCACUGUCUCUCAGUGAUUGAGCAUCCUGAAUCCCAAAAGUGAACUCCAAAAUUCUCCAAAACCGGAAAUUUUUGAGUCCAACAUGAUGCCAUGAGUGGAAAACCCCACACCUGACCUCAUAUGAAAAGCUGUAGUCAAAAUGCAAGCACAGUUAAAAUAUUGUAUCAAACUACCCUGAGACUAUGUAGAGAAAGUAUGUAUAAAAUACAAAUGAAUUUUGUGUUUAGACUUGGGUCCCAUCUCCAGGAUACCUCAUUAUGUAUGUGUAAAUAUUCUAAAAUCCAAAAAAUCCAAACUCUUAAACACUCAGAAGCUUUUCAGACAAUGGAUGCUCACCUGUAUAUCUAACCCCUGCCCCACUANAGUUUUUCUUGUGGCCCCUAUUCUUGAAAUGGUCAUCAGGGCUGAUGACAGCAUCUUUAGCUACAAUAUUAAAAGAUUUACAUGUUUUUAUCUACUGCAAUUGUAUUUUUGCAUUUGCUGCUAAAUUCGAAAUGCUUUUAAGGCUGUGAAUGUAUCUUUUUUCCUGUCUUCACUAUAAAACUAUUAAAGACACAAGGAGUUGCAUCAAUUAUUACUGAAUUAGAAACAACUAGCCCUUUAGGAUCAACCUCAGACCUUGGCUCUACUAACACUAUUCUUUCACCAAACGUGUAAUGAAGAAAGCGUCCACAGUGGCAAGGAAGACAGAAAUACUCUGCCAAAAAGUAAUCCUGAUAAACUCUGGAAUCAUCAGCUUUCUCUAAAUUUCUAUCAUCAUUCCCAUGAAUUUAUGAUGCCCAGAGCUUACUGAAUAAUUGCAACCUGAAGAUGUGCUGGUUACCUGUGAAAAAAAAAUUUAAAAAAAAAAAAACUUGUAGGUUGUCUACUGGCCAAUGACUUGCAACUUUUUUUUUCUUUUUCUUUUUCUUUUUUUGUUUCAGGAACCCUCCCAUGGCUCAAUUUAAUCAUUCCAUCAAUGAGAAAUCAUGCCCUUUGUCAGAUCAAACCACUGCCAUAGGAGAAACUGGCCUCUCCCUGACUCUCCCAGACUCAAUCUGUUCCUUCCCACACUUCAUAAACAUACCUCCCUAAACAAUCUUAUUGGUGGUACAAUUAGUAUUGAUUUGCCACGAGUAGCUUCCACUUCUUCCCACGACCCCAACUUUGCUCCAUUUUUGGAGAAAACAACCAUGAAAAAUGUCCAGUGUGCCUUGCAUUCUGGGCUCUUACUUUACACCAGUGUCCUGAUCCUAAGCAUUUUGGUUUAAACAACAGCAUAUUAAGGUACACCGCUUAAUCUUAUUUCAUAGAUCUCAGAUAUCAUUGGAAUUUAGAGCUAGAAGGAGCCUCAGUAAUUAGUCAACUCUAGCAUUUUACAAAAAUCAAACCCCAGAGUAAAUGCCUUAGCCUAGAUCUAGAGAUAUCAAGUCUGGACCCUUUCUAAUGAAUACAUGAUAUCACCCUUUAUGCAUGAACCAAAUCUGAGAAGAUGAGCAGGACAUGAAAAUGUUCCCUGGAUCAGUAUGGUCAUUUAAUUUAAUCAAGCAAGACCUCAGUCCAGGUCCCCUCCCCCUAUAGGACAGAAUAGCAGGUCAGGCCUGAACAUGGACACCUCCUAGGGAGUCCCCACCUUAUCCUGAGGGAGAAAGGGGCCCAUGCUCACUUUCAACAGAUCUCUCUCACCUGCCUGAUCCAUGGAUCUUCAUAACUGACACAUGUUAAGGUUUUAUUAGAAGAGGCCUCAAACACCUUACAAAGGAACAUUUUAGAAUCUCCCUGUGCUACUACUUGUCCUUCCCACCCCAUCCUCACACUCCGCCUCCUGGGGAUGGCUCCACAAAGAGGAGAGAGCAGAGAGUCUGGGAAGAGGGCCUGCUAAAAGCUGCUUUCCUUUCAAUAGAAAAUUAUUUGUCUAAGCACCAUGUGAAUAGAAUUUAGAAACUUGAACUUUGGGUUAUGAUCCAAUACCUGAAAUUCCUUUCAUUCCAUAAUUAAAGAUAAGGCUUUCAGUGUAAACAUAGCAGGCAUAAGCAUUCUCCAGACUCAUUAAUGCCCAUGAAGGGGAAAAAAAAAUGACUUGACACGGAUCAUUUCUUUAAGCUGAUUUUGAAAAAGAGGAGGGAAAGGAGAGGUCAAGGGCACUAAAGGGAGAGUGAGCACAGGAUUAAGGAAGGCUGGAGGCACUGAGGAGAAACUGCCCACUUCAUCAUCUGCCCCAGUGAUGCUAGAUUUAAUUGUUUCCAGGAUCUGAUCCUCACAUUUUUUUAACCUCCUUUGUCCACAAAGCCAAGUGGUAUAGCAGAAUGAACCUGACAUCACUUUCCUAUGUACAUACAUGAAUACACAUUUUUUAAAGGACCAGGGACACCUGGUAAGUGGCAUCUACAGAGAAAGAUGAAUGGGAAAUACAUCCUUAUAAACAGGUGUACUAGAAAAGGAUUUCAAAACAUAAUGCAUUUGUGCUAUUGAUUAUUAGAUUGCCUAAUCAGGAUCAUAUUUUAUGAUAGUAUGACCCAACCAAUGGAGGAUUCAAAGUGAUAAAGGAACCAUGGAUUAAUAGAAAAUAGCAAAAUCAGUUUCCUGAGCACUCAGCAGUGUUGUAUGUACUAGAAAUCAUAUCCAAAAAUUGGAAUAUAAAAUCACUAUACACAUUAAAGGAAUUUUUAUACUGGUAUAAUUGUUUCCACAAAUGGACAAGUGACAUUAGAAGCAAUGAUAAUAUUGAAGAAAUGGUAGAAUGUAGUCUCUUGGUACUUUCUGAAGAGAGGGAUGAAAGAGAAGAAGAUCAUACUCCUGUUUACAGACCUCCCUGGUUAAUGUGUAAUGGAUGAGAUGAGUGGCAGCUAAUAUUUGCCUCUCUUGUUUACUGUCUGGAUGGUGGCCAGACACCUUCCCUCUCGGCCUGCCAGUGGGUUUGGGGUUGUAAGGAACGUAAGGAAUGCAGUAAGUGGCUGAUAGGGUCUCUGUGCCACGUGUAGGCUUGCUAAAGAAGACAUUCAAGAAGACCUCCGGGGACAUCUGGUGACAUUCCCUCAGGUGGGCAUGCCUCCUUGGCACUGUGGUAAAUAGUCUCACUAAAAACAGCUGGGGUGAGCUGUGCUAAAGCAGAGCUGGGCUCAGCCCUGCCAAACUGCUCCACUGAGGAGGACAAAGAAAGGCAAAAUGUCAGGAUCCAGAGGAAGUUCUCCUUCUGUCCUAUCCCUGCUGGGAAACACAGAACAGAGUGCUCCUCUGUCUGUAACUUGUCCUGCCCUGAGCGGUACUGAGGCACGCCUGGCCCUCCUCUGCAGGCUUACAGAGAUGUGGAAGGCCUUCCUCCCCAUCCUUCCCCAUCUUCUUUCUAAAUUCUUCCCUCUUGCCUGGUGUGAUGUGGGACGAGCCAACAGACCAAGACCUUCCCCGACAAAACACAGACAGGAAUUACAUGGAAGGUACCGUGACCAGACUGCUCCCCUGCUGAUCGUGUCUUGUCUUGUCUCUCACGUGGACCGGCGCGGUUUCACCUACAGAAACAAGAGCUCUGUGAUUCUUCCUCACGUGGCAUGGUUCUGAUGUGGGUCACAAGUGUUCCUCUUAAUAACCCCCACAACUUUCCUCAUUUCCUAAGAAAUCGAGUUCAGAAUUCUGGCAUGGGCUGAGCAGGGCUCUGUUUUGCCCCAGCUUAGCCAAGCAGUUUUGAAGUGAGACUUUUUAUCACAAUGUGAAGGAGGCACGCCCCGCUGAGUGAAAAGAGGCAGGUCUCCUUGGAGGUCUUGAAUAUCUUCUUUAGCAAGUUUACGUGUGGCACAGGGACCCUAGGGCUGGUACCAUCCUAUCUUUCCUACCUCCCCUCUCACCCCAACUUAAACUGUUUUUUUUGGGGUGGCUCUAUGCUUUCCUCCUUUUACCACAUUCACCUCCUUCUACCCACUGUCUCUCAGUGAUUGAGCAUCCUGAAUCCCAAAAGUGAACUCCAAAAUUCUCCAAAACCGGAAAUUUUUGAGUCCAACAUGAUGCCAUGAGUGGAAAACCCCACACCUGACCUCAUAUGAAAAGCUGUAGUCAAAAUGCAAGCACAGUUAAAAUAUUGUAUCAAACUACCCUGAGACUAUGUAGAGAAAGUAUGUAUAAAAUACAAAUGAAUUUUGUGUUUAGACUUGGGUCCCAUCUCCAGGAUACCUCAUUAUGUAUGUGUAAAUAUUCUAAAAUCCAAAAAAUCCAAACUCUUAAACACUCAGAAGCUUUUCAGACAAUGGAUGCUCACCUGUAUAUCUAACCCCUGCCCCACUAAUAUAAACUCCCACACGGUUGGUACUUUCCCUUCAGAGUACUCAUCCCUACCAUUAUUAAAUAAUCAUUUGUGUAUCAUCAGUGCAGUGGCUUUCUCCCUUGCUAGGCAAUAGGUUCCCUAAAGACAAAGGAUUGCACAUAUGGUAUUCUUUGAGGUAUAUCCAGCAGCCUGCCUGUAGUAGUUGCUUAGGUUAUCAAUGAAUGGCACCCCACCUCCAGCCUCUCCUAAAGGAUAGGCUUUUGUUAGCAAUUAUCUGAGGCAAUAGGGAAACUUUGUGCUUCCUAUUCUCAACAUCAUUCUCCACAAUCCAUCAUCAUCAUCUGAAUCCUGGUCUUAUCUCUCCUGCUGCUCCAAGGCUCCUUAGAUAAGGGACUCUCAUUUAUUUUUUUGCAUGGUUCACAACUCUGGACACCAAAUUUUGCCUAGCUGAGACUCAAAAAUUCAUUGGUUCCUGAAGAACCAAUGAAAGGAAAAGAAACCACAGAAACCAAAGCUGGGUGUGUAAAGGGUUAUUUAUUUAUUUAUUUGCUUUCCACAGACCCUCAUAAUGCACAUAUAUCACCUUUUCUGUCGUAGAGUAAGAAAUUUAAAAAAUUUCCCCAGCCCAUAACUUUUUCCAUCAUUUCAGACUUCCAGCAGUACUAUACAGGCUCCUUCUGGGGCAUUCCAUUCCGAUCUGCAGUCUUGAGUUUUAUAUAUAAAGGCAGGGCAUGAAGGAGUUCUAUGUUUUUGAUCAGAGACAGCAGAAGAGGUAAGAGACUUGAGCAAUGGGGAAAAGGACACAGCAAGAAAAAAAAAAAAACUUGCAACAUGUGGUUGGGGAGAAAACAUUGAGAGUUCUAACAAACUCAAUAGAGUGAUAGACUCUGAGCUGAACUCUUUAUUCUAUAUAUACUCUGAGGCCUUGGGAAAGUCACUUAGCUCCCUGGAUCUAUUUUCUGAUGGGCAAAACGGCAUUAAUGAUGCCUCUUUCUGAUCAUUUAGGGGAUUAAUAUGAUAAUGUCCAAAAUUGCUCUGUCAAUUCAAAAAGGUUUAUGCAAACCAUUCCCUACAUGGUGGGUGAAGAUGGAGAGCUGGAGGGAGUCAUCUGUAUGGGGUUUGGGGGUUGAUUAGCAGAAGCUUAUAUUCUGUCUGUAGAAUUAAGAGUCUGUUUAGAACCCUGGGGAACCCAAAGUCUGAAUGAGGAGAUAACCAGAGUUUGAGAAAGGCACUGGGGAGAUGGGGGGAAAGAAGCAACUCAAUUGGGUAUGAAUGAAGCAUAAAAUACACAGAGUGUUAAGGUCAGACCCAGAGCUUCUUGCUUAGAGGCAGGUGACAGGGGAAAGAGGAAGGAGGAGAGUUGAGCACUGACAGGCUGAAGUGAGGAGAGGGAGGUUGGUUGUUCUGCUGGAGAUACAAGAUCUAUGUAACGAGAGAAGCUUGAAAAGAAGAAAUCAGGAUCCCAUCAAAGCAGGUUUCAAAGGACAGAGAAAGCUUUGCCACAGAAAAUGAACCUGGAGCAGGAGACACAAAGAGGUAGCAGUUGGGCAUAGUGGUACACACCUGUAAUCCCAGCAACUCAGGAGGCUGAUGCAGGAGGAUUACAAGUUCAAAGCCAGCCAAUUUAGCAAGGCCCUGAGCAACUUAGCAAGACCCUGUCUCAAAAUAAUAAAAAUGAAAAGGACUGGGGAUGUGGCUCAGUGGUUAAGCAACCCUGGGUUUAAUCCCUGGUACAAAAAAAAAAAAAUGUGGGACAAAGUCUCUCCAAGGAGAGUCUACGCUCUGCUGAGAUUACAUAGGAGGAUGGGCAAGGCAUUCCUGAAGAACCAAUGAAAGGAAAAGAAACCACAGAAACCAAAGCUGGGGAAAGUGCCCGAGCUAGGCUGUCUGCUGAGACAACAAUCCCUUUUCUUCUUCCUGGACACACAGCCAACUGCAUGUCUUAGGCUCCCUUGAAGUAAGGUGUGGCCCCAAGACAGAGUUGUAGCCAAAGCAAUGUGAACAGAAUGUUAGGAGAUGGUCAUUUCCAGAGCAGGCCCAAGUGAACUUCCAGCUGUCUUUCUCCAGACUCUUCCUGUUCCGAGGUGGGUUCUCAUGCCCUCUGUAACUUUGGAAGCCAAAUGUUGAAGAUGAUGGAGCAACAAGUCAAAAAGACCUUAGGUUCAAAGGUCACCCCUGGAAGACAGAACCCUAUCAAUCAGCACAUCCACAUUCAGAACAAAAUAAUUCUUUUGUGUUCAAGCCAUGUACACGUAGGGGUGAGUAUAUUACAGCAGCUAUCGUUACCUCAAUUAGCUCAGCACGAGGAGUCUGGGAAUGACCAGGAGCCCACUGGCUGCAUUUUAAAAUCAUUUAAGUGAGAAUUGCAUGAGAUGAUGUGAAAAAAACCUGUGCACCUCAUGACCUGCCUGAUUCCUGUCCACGCUUGCUUAGUGGCUCCCAUCUACUCUUUAGCCAUGGUAUUUUAACCUUAAAUUGGCUUCUAUUUAUAGCCACAAAAGAAAAAUACCAAUCAGAUGUCUAUAAAAGGUUUUUCCAAAACUCCAAGUUCUUUCUCUUGCUUUCUCUUUUUUUCCCACCAAAAUAAUUUUUAAUUGUUUAAUGUGGGAAAAUAUUUUAUGGGAAUUGCAUUCCUUUCUGAGCCACUGCCUAGGCAAUUUAAAAAUAAACAAUAGACAAAGACAAGCAUUAACUUGGGGGGGGGGGACUUUUUAUAAUUACCUUCAGGAUUGAUUCAGGAUUGGCUAAGAAUAUAAAAGGAGUUUGAAGAUUGGUGGCCAUCCAGGCUAUAGGAAAAAAGCAAUUAGCUUUCUUUUCUUCUUCUCCUCAACAGGUAAGUUCCAAAUACAGACAAUGCCUAAUUCAUUCCUGUUAGUUCUAGUAUUGCUAAAAUGUUCUUAGAUGCUCACAUAAGUUAUUGACCAACCAGUGGAGAUACUGAGGGUUGUUUUGCAGAGACUCUGAAGACAUUCAAGCAAAGGCAAGGUGUAAACAGGAUUUAUUGUAAUUACUAUUAUUAUUUUUUAUUGUUUUAAGCAGAUAGUCCUAUCUAAGACAUGCAAACUUAGCUUUUGAGUUUUGGUCAUAAACCUCUGGGCACUUUUCUAGUCCUUGUAAUAUAGUGCCAAUGAGAGAUUAAGCUAGAAAAUAAAUCUACAAAUGAGUAGCUGUCUUAUAAUUAGUAAGCACUCUCCUUCAUAUAAAAUUCCAUGCCAGUGUCUAAUAGCCACACUUUAUACUCACCUAAAGCCUUUCAUCUGAAAUGCUCAAAGCGCUUCUUGUUAAUACCAGUGCUAAUUCUCUCAAAAUUCCUGUAAGUCAGGGAGCUAGAAUACCCAUCCUUAAGGCACCUUGGCCAUUGCUGAAGUUGGAGCCUUUCUGUCUCUGACCCACGUAGUUGUGGGUGGCACCCCUUCCCCAGGUUGUUGCCCCACCCCCAGCCCAAUGAAAAGCAGAAGGGAUUCUAUCAGGGCAGGAAAUUCGAGUUGCAGCCACAUGGGAGGCAGUCAUAUAAAAGGAAGCUCAGCCCUUUGAAUUAGACUGACUAUAUAACCUGGCUCUGAUGUUUAAACAAAUUAUCCAAACUUUCUGAGCUUUAAUUUGCUCCUCUACGAUCAAGAAUGUAAAAUAAUACUAUGGUUAUCCACACACAUUAAGCAGCCAAUAAAUACUUGCUUUAGGGUAUUUACAUCCUUAAUUUCACUGGAUCUUUGGAACUAACCUGUAUUGUAUCUGGUUGAAGUUCUGCCACAGUCUGGAGGGGCACAAAAUAACUGAGCCGCCACACAGCCUUGUAGGUUCAAAACAGGAACUCCUUUAUUCUCCACACCCCCGCGAACUCCUCGCACUCGGCCUUCUCCCCGGACAUACACCACACACCAACUGGAAAUCCCUCCUCCCGAAAUCCCUCCUCCAGCACUUCCCCAACCAAUGGGAACUCUCCAGGGAUUCCUGUGAGAACUCCAAAGUAGCAGGCUGAGGCGGACAGCAGGGGUCUAAUAUACAAUUGAAUACACAGCUUAACAUAACCAUUAUCAUCAAUAGCUUGUGGCGUCACCUCUCAACCACUCCAUUCUGGCAAAAAUGCCAUGCAUCAUUCCGACUAGGCUAUGGCUCUCAGCAAAGUUCUACUUGGGAAUACUGCCCAUAGUAGACAUUCAAUAAAUAUUAGUGGAGUUGUCUUCUUUAGAAGAAUUCUAUCUCCAAUGCUCAUGCUACCCAAGCCAACUUAGGUUUUCCAUAAGAAUAGCUCCAAUUUUUCCCAAAUAAAUGUGAAUCUCUGGAUGUAAAACAUUUAUUUAAGCACAAUUAUAAUCCUCUUUCUUCAAUAACCUGGGUUGAUUUGCUAAAUCUCCCCAAGUUCUAUAUUUAUUACCAAAGAAGAAUAUUGUUAUGGAUUAAAUCACUUUGUUAAAUACCAGAUAAUAAAUUAUUCAUUAUAGGGAUUUGUUAAAAAGAUUUGAUCUAUAAAAUUAUCUUAUAUAUACUCUAAUGUAUUAAUUAUAGUUUAUGGAUUUGUGUGAAUUAUUUUUUAGAAAGUAAUCUUUUACUCCUUUCAACUAUUUAAAGACAAAAUAGUAUACUUUGGAUUUUAAGUGUCACAAUUUUACUAGAUUUUUCAUUCCUCUACCAAAAAUCUAGCCAAGUCACCCAUCAAGGAGUCCCCAUUUUCUGGAUUUGAUAAUAAAAAUACAUUUGUGAAUUUGCUUAGAGGGCCAUGAUAGUGAUAUGGUAUUUACUCAGGACUUAAUUGUCUAAUGACCUUGGCUGGUUCAAAACAUUGUAAUAACUAAAAGGUAAGAACAAGAUUGGAGAAGAGAAGCUUCCAAGUAAGCAAAAUAGAUAUUAAAAUGUCAAACACUUAUGUCUAGUGGCUGUGAAUUUCAGGGAUAAGAGAUCUUGCAGGAUGUGACUCAAAGCUAAGUUACUCCUACUUGGUCCACAGUUCUAACAAGUUUUCUCCAUUGUGGGCAGAUGAAAAGCAGCAGGCCAGAAAUGUGUAGACAUUAGAGAGAUAAAGAUUUCUUACAGCCUUCAACCUGUAAGCCUCGAAGGCAAAGCUUUGUGUCAACUCUUUGUCUGGCACUCGAGCAGAUAUGAAGGACAGGAAAGUCACCAUCACUGCCCUUGCCUCCCACGGUCACGCUUCAAUUGGAUGCAGAAAAGAGCAACACACUACAAACAAUCCGGCAACAAAUAAAUUGUGUGCUACCUGCCAUAAAAAACAUUCAGAGAAGGAGGAAACCAGUCUGGGAGACACUAGGGGAGAUUUUACUGGACCGAAUCUUUUGAAAAUUCCUAAUUACAACAGGCUCUAAGUCUUAAAAAAGCAUUUGAAAAGUGAUGCCUGAAAUCAUUGUGGGAAACAUUUCUAUUUGACCCAAGACCAAUUUUGAAACAAUCACAUUUUAUUUGAUCAGAUGAUAAGUUAGUUGAGAGUGGGACCUGUCAGAACCUAUUCCCUUCUCCCCCAGAGCAGAAAGCUGUGCUGUGACAGAACAGCCACAAAACAAACAUGUAGCAAUUUAACUUUUCAAGUGAGACCAGAGUAACAUACUGUGUUAUCACAUUAAACUGAAAUUUAAAUGAGAAAACACAAAAUUGGUUAUGAACUCAAGUAGGCAGGGAAAUACCUAACAGGUUGAAAGAAAAGGUGGUAAAUACAAGUUGCUCAGAAGAGAAGAUGAACAGGGAGUUUUAGGAAACUCCAGAUGUCUAAAACAUAAUGAGAACUACUUCACACAUACCUGGAGUAAAGUGGAAUUAACUUAAGGUGUAAAAGGAAAGGUUUAAAGAGCAGGUAUUUGGAAUGUGUUCUUGAAUUACAUUGUGUUUCUGUUUGUCUUGGUUUUGCCUAAAGUCUUCCUUUUUUAUGCUCCUCUUUAAAUAGUUUGGGUGAAAGGGGUGAGGGCAGAGUCAUGGGAUCAGUGACCUGUUUCUUAGUCCUGGUUUGGACUUGUGUAGGACGUGCCCCCUGACCCAGUCAGCUCUGCCAGUCCACAGGAGCACCCAUUUAUUCCAAGGAGCAUCUUUUCUUAAGCUGGUCCAUGUUGGUUUUCAUCUGUAAUCAGGAUUCUGAACAAGAACUUCACAAACACUCUGUUCAUGACCCAGGUUGGGAAAAAGAGUCAACCCUGUGGAGAAUCAGUGCAAAACAGUGAUGAUAAGACCAUGAACCAAAGGAGAAUACCACACACCAAACUCCUUGGAGACAGACAGAAACUGGCUUAGUGUAAUUCGAAAGGCCUCAAGGUAAUCCCCCAAAUCUCUCUCCCCGCAACUAGAAAAACAAUGUGGUAUAGUGAAGAGAGGACUGGGCUGAGCCUGAAAGGGGCCAAGUUCAAAUCCUGGCUCUGCCAUUUACUGUCUGUGUAAGCUUGAGCCAUUUAUUUAGCCUUUCUGGGAUUCAGUUUCCUCAUCAAUAAAAUGGGGAAAAUGCCACCAAUAAUAUAAGGAUGUUCUGAGGGCUAAACAACAUAUCUUAAGUCCCUAGUGCAAUAGAAGUCACAGAGCCAUAGUACAUGCUCAGUAUAUGGUAGCUUCCAUUAUUUCUAUGGCUGGUCUUUCUAUUUCACCACAUUGAUCUGCCUUUGGCCUAGCACACCAUUUUGUAAGUAGAACUAGAGAAGUAGUUGCUCCAAACAGCCAUAGAGCAAAACACAGGUAAGUUAUCCUCUAUUCCUGGAACUAAAAAUCUUUAUAGGCAAAUCCACAACUAGCUUUGUCACCCUAGGAAAGAAAGUUAUCAGGGAAGCACAUGAGAGGGUGGUUUGGAGAAAAUUAAAUCACUUCAGCAGAAUUCGAGGUAUAAAAUUUAGCAAGAGGGAAAAAUGAUGUUCUAAUUGCUCACUGUAACAGAAUAUGGAGGUUUUGCAUAUAUACUAAAGAGCAUUUUAAGAAUAACUAUUGUUGACAUGAACAUCUUUGGACAAAACCAAAAGGGCUUUGACUCCAUCCCAACAUAGAAGACACAAGAAAGGACAAUCACAACUGGUGUAGCAGAAGCACAGGAUUCUCACCCUGAGACGACCUGUUGUGGGGGGGUGCUUCAGCUUGUCAUUGUCAGCUGCCCAGUUAACUGCCCUUGGAAGAAAGAUCUGACCCAGAUGGAGUCAUUGAGCAUGAAUGCCUUACUGAGCAAGCAGGGCCCUGUAGGACCAGGCCUGCUAUGCUUCUAUAAUGAAUUGCUUUUGAUGGCAGAAACGGAAACAAACCAAAAUCUUAACUGCCCACAAACAUAAGUGGGUCCCCCUAGUCCCAAGGCUAGGACUGGAGUGAAAGCUAGUAAAACUAAUUAGAGCUGUCUUGGAUCAUUCAGAAAAAAAAAAAUGAUAAAAAUGAGUUCUAAAAAUUGGGAGUGGGACCUGUCCUGAUUUGGCAAGAAAGAAGAUAGAAGGGUCUGGAAGCAAAGAAUGAUACUUUUGUUUCUAAAGAAUGGAAGUAAAAACAGGCAAAGCAAGUCCAGGAUGCUUUUUUCUGAGCUUAAGGGACUCAGACAAAACUAACCAGAUUUAAUAGUUCACUCUGGUUCCCAGGACAUAGAGUCUUAGGUCUUCCUCCAGAGCUGUUAAGGUCAGAUUUUGUUUUUGUUUUUGUUUUUGCCUCUGUGACCAAAAAGAUCUGAUAAAAACACAAUUAGAGGAGGAAAUGUUUAUUUGGAGGCUCAUGGUUUCAGAGGUCUCAGUUCAUAGAUAGCUGACUCAAUUCCUCAGGACCGAGAUGAGGCAGAACAUCAUGGCAGAAGUGUGUGGUCGAGGAAAGCAGCUGGGGACAUGGCACCAGGAAGCAAAGAGGGAGAGAAACUCCACUCACCAGGGACAAAAUAUAUACUCCAAAGGCAAGACCCCAGUGACCCACCUCGUCUAGCCACCCCCUACCUGCUUACAGUUAUCACCCAGUUAAUCCCUAUCAGUGGAUAAAUUCACUGAUUAAGUCACGGUUCUCAUAAACCCAGUCACCUCACCUCUAAACCCUCUUGCAUUGUCUCACACUUGAGCUUUGGGGGGACACCUCAUAUCUAAACCAUAUCAAGAAUUUAAGGAACCUGGAUAGAAUUAACUAAAGAUAACAGCUCACCCUACUUCCCAAGACUUGGAGUCUCAGUCCAGUGACUUCCAGCCCCCUGUUGAACACAAAUAUAAAACAACAGCCAAUACCUAAUGAUUAUCUUUCCCUCUACUCAACAAAGGCAGUAUAAAACAAUAAAAUUCCUAAUAAUAAACUAACAAUAUAUGUUGCACGCAAGUGGCUAUUUGCAAAUGUGUCCUAGAUCAAAGAUCGCAGAGAAUUCUUUUUGUUGUUUGGUCUUCCUGUAGACGGGAAGGCAAAAUCGGGUUUCCCAGCCAUGUGUACUUACUUGUUGCUUAAAGAAGCACGUAACCCAUUAGAACUUCUUGAUGACUUGUGAGACCAAGGAUGUGGUUUCCAUUAUCUAAUAAAUGAUAAGUAGGGAAUAAGCAUAGUUGGUUUACAUUAGAGCCUAAGUGGAGAUGAUAUUGCUGUAAAUAUUUAUUAUAAUUUUCUAAAAAUACUCAUGUAUGUGUCUGCCAUAUAAGAAAAAUGCUUCUUAGGAUACUAAAAAAAAAAAAAGUGGCAUAAAAGAUUGGCGAGACAUCUGGUCUAUCAGAGUUUACAAUCUAGGAAAAAUGAUGUGAACUUAGCGUUAUAACAACAACUAUAACUUAAAUAUUUGCCAUAUGCAAAAUGCUACAUACACAUUAUUUUACUUAAUCCUCACAAGAACCCCAUGAAACAAUCAAAUUUUCUCAAUUUUGCUGAGAAUCAGAAAGAUAAAGUAACUUGCCUAAACUCGCACGAGGAAAAGAAGAAUGUCUAUUGUUUCAUUUAUUUAUUUAUUUAUUUAUAUUUGUCAACACGAACCCUUCUUCUUUUGAGGAUCGGGUCUUCAAUAUCACACACACACACACACACUCAGAUACACACACACAUCACACUCCCAUUGUGUGCUUCUGUUGGGCCAGUCACACUGCAUUCCUGCUCAUGUGAUACAAAUCAAACCAAUCAGUUCUUCCAUGGUAUCUUCAAAUGGAACUAAGGGGAGAAUGCUCCUUCCUUCUUACCCUCUAGUGAAAUGAAACUGAGAAAUGUGAACUUUGAAGCUUCCAGAAGACAUACCUCCAGCCUCUUGUCAGAUGCUAGUCUGAGGAAAUAAAGUCAGUAUGGAGAAAUAAAUAGAAAAAGAGAUUUUUUUUUUUUAAAAAAAAGCACCUGUGACUUCAGUGACUAUGGUUCCAUUCAAUGGUUUGCUGGUAAAUGUUUAACAACCAACUCUCCAAGUGUAGUUCCUUUUUGUUUAUUUGCAUGUUUGGUACCAGAGAUCAAAACCAGGGCCAUUUAACCACUGAACCACAUCCCCAGCCUUUUUAUUUUGAGACAGGGCCUUAUUAAGUGGCUCAGGGUGGCCUCGAACUUUGCAAUCCUUCUGCCUUAGCCUCUUGAGCUGCUGAGAUUACAGGAGUACACCACCACACCUAGUCCAAGUAUAGUUCUGACAUGAAUGUUGGUCAGCAAUUUAAAAAAAAAAAUUUUUAAUUUUAUUUGUUCUUUUUAGAUAUAUAUGACAGUAGAAUGUAUUUUGGCAUAUUAUACAUACAUGGAGUAUAAUUUAUUCUAAUUAGGAUCUUAUUCUUGUAGUAUUACAUGAUGUGGAAUUACCCUGGUCAUUUAUUCAAGGAUAGGAAAGUUAUGUCUGAUUAAUUCUAUUGACCUUCCUAUUUCCCUCCCCCUCUUCCCUUUGUUCCCCUUUGUCUAAUCCAAUGAACUUCUAUUAUUCUCCUCCUCAUCCUCCCUUAUUGUGGGUUAGCAUCCACAUAUCAGAGAGAACAUUUGGCCUUUGGUUUAGGGGGACUGGAUUAUUUCACUUAGCAUGAUAGUUUCUAGUUCCAGACAUUUACCAGCAAAUGCCAUAAUUUCAUUCUUCUUUAUGGCUGAGUAAUAUUCCAUUGUGUAUAUAUACCACAGUUUCUUUAUCUACUCAUCUGUUGUAGGGCACCUAGGUCGGUUCUAUAGCUUGACUAUUGUAAAUUGAGCUGCUAUUGAUGUGGCUGCAUUACUGUAGUAUGCUGAUUUUAAGUCCUUUGGGUGUAGACCAAGGAGUGGGAUAGCUGGGUCAAAUGGUGGUUCCAUUCCAAGUUUUCUGAGGAAUCUCCACACUGCUUUCCAGAGUGGUUGUGAAGCCAGAUUUAAAGUUAGGUAGUCCUCUUCAAGCAAACUUGAAGAUGCUGACUUGGAAGUGCCCAGAUUACUUCUUUGGCCCACCUUUGUCCCACCCCUCGGGCCUUCCCACCUACAUUCCAUCACCCAAAACUAUAAAAUGGAGAGACAACCGCACUUCCAUGGAUUCCACCUCUUGGGUCCCCUUCUUCCUCUGGGAGAAGUCUUUUCUGCUGUCCUUUAAUAAACUUCUAAUUUCUACUCUGACCUUGCCUAGGCAUGCUUCUCUGGUUAUUCUUCAACAUUGGGGAAGCAAGGACUCGUCACCGGUCAACAGCAGUAACAGUUGCACCAAUUUGCAGUCCCACCAAUAAUGAAUGUAUGAGAGUACCUUUUCCCCCACAUCCUCACCAACAUUUAUUGUUACUUGUAUUAUUUAUAAUUGCCAUUCUGACUAGAGUGAGAUGGAAUCUGAGUAUAGUUUUAAUUUGCAUUUCCCUAAUUGGUUAGCAAUUUUCUUUAUGUAAGAUGAAAGGGAAUCAGCAAAGACAUUGGUAGAAUUUUACUCAUUUUUUAAUGGUAUAACUGACUUCUUUGGUAAAUCAGUUAAUAGUUUUAAAAAAACAGACAUUUUUCUCAAUUUUUGGAUAUUAUUCACAAAGUAACAAGUAUAGAUGUAUACACAUUUUCAAGUUUAAUUUGCAUUGUCAACAUUUUUUCAUCGCUUUCUUAAGUCUAGACUCUAGGGAAUCAACAAAAGAUCAAGUCCUGAUUUGUAGCAUUUGUCAAUCUCUACAGUGUGAAUGCUUCUGCCUUGACCAACGUCAAACUUCCAAAAUGACAUCAUUGGUGUUGGGGAGAGAUGAGCAAAUCAUAUUGUGUUUUCACCCUACAGACACCACAGAUAUAAAGAUUCACACAUGUAGGAGAGAGAAAAAUGCAGUAAAGUCAUGAGGAAAUGAUAAGAUUUUAGAAUUUAUUACCUUUGCAUCUAAUAUAAUUUUUAAUCAUGACCUUAUAAUUUAAUUUUUAGUAAUGGUUGUGUUUAACAACCGACUCACAAAGUCACUGAAAACCUGGACAAGUGGCUUUCAAGAAUCAACAUGAUCCAAAUACAAUACAUCAUAGGUUUCCCCUGAUCCCUGGGUCCUACCUAUAUUUCCCACCCUAAUUCCAGGAGCAAAACAAAACAAAACAGAACAAAAAAAUACCAAAUUUCUCUCACCUACAGAGUGUCUUCUCAGUCACUUGCAACUUAAAAGAAUCCUGGCUCACUCAAGGGGACCCUUAUACCUAGAGUGGACAGGGUGGGCUUCUUCCACAAGGCAGGUUGAGGCUCCCAGCUUUGAAGGCCAAUUUCCAGCCUACUUAGCUGCAUUUAAAACAAAAACAAAAACUGUGCUUUCCGCCUUAGGAAAUACAAUGUUCAGCUACGGAAAGCCUGGCCAUGCCACAUGAUGGUCCCUUUAAAUGUCUUCCUAGAUGAGGAAUGUUUAAUCAGCUGAGCAGAGCCUCCAGCCCUGCAGGAGCCUGGAGGAUGUUAGCAGCUCCCAGCCGCUUGCUCCCAGGAGCCCAGCAUCAUUUUAUGCAACCGCACAGGGUGGAGACCAACCUUCUCCCUGGAGAGGAAGUGGCUGCAGGAAUACCAGAUGUGGCAUUCCCACAGCAGCUGGUGGAGGGGCCCCUGUCUCCCAGGGUGAGGAGCUCCACAGAGACCCAGCCCCGGAAGUUUGCAGAGUUUCCACAAGCAGGGAGAACCCAAGCUGCAUGGGGCCAGAGGCAACAGGGGAUGGUAAACAGAACACUAUUUGGGACUGAUUCUCCCACCCACUGCCUUUGUUUCCGUCCACCAGUGUUGGGAAACCUGUUUAAAGAGUUAUUCCAAGUAUUUUUUCAAGCCUCUAAUCUGUCUUCAAAAAUAUUCUGGAGGAGGAAGCAAAGAUUGUUUGCUGCGGUAGAUGAGGGUAGAAAUGGCCAGGAAAAAUCUCCCCAGAAUACCUAAGUAAGAACCACGAGGGAGGGUCAGGGGAGCAUGGACAGAAGCCAGCCGCGGCUACUGGAGUGCAGUUCUCUGCUUGUCCUGCAGAUUUUUAAAUAGGGGGCAACUGAAGUCCAUUGCUCUGUGUGAAAGCUGGGGGGUGGGGGUGAAGUGGAGGGAAAGGGGAGGUGGGGUUGCUAUAGAUGGUUGGAAAGGGUGAGAGGGCUGCAGGUGGGGGACCCAGGGAAAUGGAGUGUGCGGUUCAUCUUAAAUCUUGUUUACUGUACGUAUUCUUGGGUGGGGGGGGUGAGCUGGACCCCUUAGUCCCCACAUCCAAAGUUGAUUAAAACCCUGAAGUUUUCCAUAAUUGGACCUCAUUAAUAAAUUCCUCAGGGUACCAGGAGGCUCUGAAGAGGUAAAAUAAGGGUUUGGAGAGAUGAGAGCAACAGGAGGUUGUAAGACCCCAGACUGUGGAGUUAAUUCCACUUAAUCAGCUUGGACAAACUCCAUGUUCACAACAAGCCCCAGGAGUCCCUGAGCCUCCAGCCCCCGCCCUCUUCAGCAGGGCAAGAUUUUCUGGCAUUCACUUCUCCCUUACUUUUUAACCUGUUUCCAACGUGGUAACAUACUGCCCCAUGUUUUAAGAACAUGGGGCUGCUCUUUCCUGAGGACUCUCAAGGUUCCUAAGCUAAAUGUGAUGGCAGCAGCUUGGAGAAGGACAGGCAGCACUUCGAGCCUCCUCUCUUCCCUUUACCAUCCACCAGCACAUACCACACCCCUGCCCCAAACUUCUCCCCUCUCACCUUCAAGAACAUCUGUGUUCAGUUGUUAGUUGGACCCCAGACUCACACACAGUCCCUGUACAGGUUAUUAUUAAUGUGCUAACUUGACUUGGCUAAGGGAUGCCCAGAGAGUUGGCAAAGCCUUACUUCCGGCCGUGUCUGUGAGGGUGUGUGGAAGAGAUUUGAAUUGGUAGACAUGGUAGAGAAGAUCAUUCUCACCAACAUGGGCUGGCAUCAUCCAAUCCCUUGAGGGUCAAAGAGAACAAAAAAGGAGAGAAUUCACUCUCUCUGCUUGAGUGGAACAUCUGUCCUCUCCUGCCUUCAGACAUUGGCCUUCUGAUGCUUAGGCCUUUGACUCAAACUGGGACUUACACAAAUGCCCCCUCCCGUUUCUCAGGCCUCUGAAUUUGAGGUGGAACUACCACACCGGCUUCACUGCUUCUGCAGUUUGCAAUGGCAGCUCAUGGAACUCUUUAGCCUUCCUAAUUGUGGGAACCAGUUUGCAUAAUAAACCUCUUUCUAUCGAUCUUUAUAUUUGCCAUCAGUUGUGUUUCUUUGGAUAUCUCUAAUACAAUCCCAAAUCUUAAAGUAAGACAUCAGCAUUAACUUGUUAUCAUUUCGAGUCUUCAUAAGUUAGCAAAUAGAGGCAAGUUUUAGGGGUUAUUAGUUUUCAUUUUUUUCUUUCUUUCUUUUUCUCCUUUUUUGUACUAGGGAUUGAACACAGGGCCUUGCAUCAUGUUAAGCAAGUGCUCUACCACUGAGCUACUUCCCCAGCCUUUUAUUUUAUUUUGAGAUAAGGUCUCACUAAUUUGCCCAAGCUGGUCUUGAGCUUACCAUCCUGCUGUCUCAGCCUCUUAAGUAGCUGGGAUUAAAGGUGUGCACCACCAUGCCCACCAGUGGUCAUCUUUAGUGUGGAGCUUACUUGGUUAAUAUGGUUAGCACAGUACCCUAUUGUUUUUCUCUAAUAGAAGUGAAAAUGAGCUGCAAAAUAUCCAAGGAUCAGAUACCUAGGAAAAACAAGAAGCAAAGGGCCUCAGGGAUGUCCAAAUUGGGAAGCUAAUCUCUGAGUAAAAAAGAUCAAGGGUCAAGUGGAGGAUUUUUCCUGGACUCCAAGUGGCUUGUUCUCAUAACAUCUAUCUAUAUCUUACAAAUGUCUCCUUCCUUUUCUGGGAAUUUCAGUGAGAAAGGUUAUGUAGCAAGACUAUCAGGCAUAGAAACAGCCUCCAGUUCAACCUCCAUCUCCAAGAAUUAUCAACCUUCAUUUAUAUGGACUACAAUGUCACUAGUUCUUGGUGUAGGACUCACUCCAGGUCAAGGAUAGAACAAAAUAGCAGAUGACUGUGGUGGAGGAAAGCAGGUCAGGUAAUGGCCAUUAAGAAACAGAGAAAGAAAGAAAGAGAGAGAGCUCCACUUUCCAGGGACAACAUUUGUAUCCUAAAGGCACACCCCCAAUGACCCACCUCCUCCAGCCACUGCUAUCUGCCUACAGUUACCACCCAGUUAAUCCCUGGGAGGGAUUAAUGCUGAGUGGGUUGAGGUUCUCAUAACCCGAUGAUUUCACUCUGAACUUUCUUGAAUUGUCUCAAACAUGAGCUUUUGAGGGAUGCCUCAUAUCUAAACCAUAACAAUAGGCUAACACAUUGAUGAUUUUUAAUUUGGGGGGGGGAGGCGAAAGAAAUUGAUAAAGGUCUGAUUGUAGGUGAGAAAAGAGAAAGGUUUUUUUUAAAUCUAAAAUUAAUUUUUCUGAAAACUGGGUCUGAUUCAUCCUAUUUUUUUACCAGAUCUAUUUUUAGAAACAUUUACUUUUAAACUAAUAAAUGAAUUAAACUGUAGCCAUAGCUGCUGUCUGAUAACUCUUUCCUGGUGAAAGAACAUAGUCUUUCCCCCAAACAAAUACAGUCUUCACAUAACCAGAACUGAUAAACCAAUCCUCAAAUUGAGAGACACCUUCAGUAAAUGGAAAAGCUGUAUAUCAAAAUAGUUGAUAAAGGCAAAUUUUUAUCUGUAAAAGGCAACUUUUUCAGUAAUGUAUUUAAAGAGUUCAGAAGGGUUGGGCAAUGAAGGGAGAAUUUGAAGUAAGUAGCUGCUGCUUCAUCCAGUUCUCCUGUGGGGUACUGGCCAGUGUGGGACCAGAUGAAUGGGCAAGGUGGGUGGACUUAGGUGGCCCUUGCUGCUAUGGCAUAAACUGGCCCAGCUCAACUGCAUGACAUUCUGGAAAAGUUAAAACUCUGCAGACAAUAAAACAUUAAUUGUUGCCAGUAGAAAGGGUGAGGGAGGAAUUGAAUAGGCAAAGGACCGGGGAUUUUGAGAGUACUGAAACUCCUCUGUAUGAUAUUGUAAUGUUGGACACAUGUCAUUAAACAUUUGUUCAAACCCAUAAAAUAACACAACUCCAAGGGUGAACUGUGAUGUGAACUGGGUGUUAAUGAGCUAUCCAUGUAGAAUCAUCAAUCAUGACAAAUGUACUACUCUGGAGAGAGAUGUUGAUGAGGAAAGCUGUGUGUGUGUGUGUGUGUGUGUGUGUGUGUGUGAACUCUCUGUGUUUUACCCUAAAAAAACAAAAGUCCUGGCCCAGGCAUUGAUCUGGAUUCCCAGGGGCGAAGGAAAGUGCCAUCCUCUUAUGUCUUACCUGCUGUCUACAGCAGAACACUUUUCACCCAUAACUGGCCCCUUUAGGGCUUAGCCAGGUUCCUCGUAGAAUCUGGGAGUUGAAGAGGAAUUACUUUUCUAUUCCAUAUAUAAGUCGGAAUUUUAUAAGCAUGUCUCCAUACAUUUCUUCUAUAAUAAUAAAAUAAAAUAAAAAGAAUGAACUUUGCAGUAUUAUUCAGGGGAGACUGAUUUUUCAAUUGAUAGACCAGAUGUGUGCUUGAAGUUUUCCAGUCUCUUGGAUUGGCUGAACUUGCGCUGAACCACACUUCUGAAGCUUGAGGUAGGUCCAUCUCCUCCCUGUGUUUUUUCUGGCCCUCAUUCCUCAUCUUCCUCUACCUUCACCUUGCCACCUCCCCCCCCCCAACAAUGUUUUAGAGAAACAUGCCGAUAUCAGACUCCAUCUCCUUUUCUGUUUCUACAAGAAACUGAGGCCCACUCAGCAUUUCAUGAGGAUGGUAACUCUGUGGGAAGUUACCAUAGGGGGAGCAGGGUUCCACCUUCAACUCCUGCUCCCCACAUUUUCAGCCUCUUGGGAAGUACAUUCUUCCACUUCCUACCUUCCUUAGCCCCUUAGAAACUCUGGUGAAUCCAUUUCUUUCCAUCUUCUUCCAAAAUAACAGAAACUGUUAUUUUUAAUUUUUAAAGCUAAUUUUUAAAAGAGCAGGGGAAUAAGUUAUAAGGAUACAGGGGUCUCAGGAAAUUCAGUUGUAACAGAAGAACUGGAAAGCCCUGCGCAGGAUUCGGUGUCUCCCCUUUCUGGUAUCCACCUGCUGGAUUCUUCUCUCUGUGUGGUUGCUUUCUCUGUUCUCUAUCCUCUGCUCUGAGCCCCCAAGUGUUCAGCUACAUUGAAAGACAGACCACCUGGCUCAGAACCCCAAUUCCAAAUUCCUGGAAAAGAGAGCCAGGUUGUCCUGGUUGGAUGACGUCAACCAGGAGGAAGUAGUCUUAGAGCAGCAGGUAACCUGAGGGGGAGCUCAUGGCCAGCACCACACAGUGUGAUCUGGAGAGUAGGUGAUAUUUAUCCCUCUGAAGACCUGAGGUUUGGAUAUAUUGUCGAAAAGGGUAUUCAUGGGCUGGGGUUGUGGCUCAGUGGUAGAGUGCUUGACUAGCAUGUGUGAGCAGUGGAUUCAAUCCUCAAUACCACAUAAAAAAAAUAAGUAAACAAAAUAAAGGUAUUGUGUCCAUCUACAACUGAAAAAAAAUUUAAAAGGAUAUACAUUUUGUUUUCACUGAAGUAGAACAAAGCACAGACCUUGGAAUCAGAUCUGUUUAGCUUUGAGUACUUGCUCAUUCACUUAAUAAUUUAAUAAAACCCUCCCUACCCCAAUCCUACCACUCAUAAAAAGGUCCUAUCUUUCAAGAUAAUCUAAAAAGCCCCCAAUGGUCUCUGACCUCCUGUCUUUGAUCCCCCCCACACACCCAUAUCCCAGCCAUACAAACUACUUACUUUUCUGCUGAGAAAAGUAUAAUGUCUUCAUCCAUCAUAAUGUCUUCCUCCCCACACAUCUUCUUCCCACCCACUCCCAACCUUGUUUGCCCAAUGGGAUAAUUUUUUCCUCAGGAAACUUUCUUCAACUCAUAAGGUUAUACUCACUGUCCCUUUCAUAUCAUCCUGAGAAGAAACUCUUCUUGGCAUCCCUGGAAACCAGUUCAUCAGCAUAAAUUGUUCUAGGACUUUGCAUGCCAAGGUAGCCCAUUCCAUUACUGAUCUAGAAGGUUCUGCUGCCCCCAUCCCAACCUGCAAUAGAACUGAAAAUAUCUCCUUAAAUCUUCCAUACAGUGGUCUUAGAUUGUACCCUAGAAUAACUCUCAAAUUUCUGGAUGCAUCAAUCAGUUAUCCCCUCUCCAAUGUCCCCAAUCUCCUCUCCAUCCCCAAAGAUUCAUCAUCUCAUAAUAUCCUCUAGUUUGUUACUGUUCUUCUCAAAGCUUGGCACUCCUAGAUGAGUCCAAACACCAGCUCCUUCGUAUGGACCCUACAGGCCUAUGCAUUCUCAGAUUGAGUGACUUUAAUUCAUGUGAACCACCUACCUGGGUCCUGUCAGCCACAUCCCCUCCAAACCCUUAUCAUAUGAUCAGCUAUUCAUGUCAAGUUCCAUCUCUUCUUACUCCCAGACUUAUGCAAUUGACUGAAGUUACACAACAAGCCAAGGGCAGAGAUGAGAUGUCUCAAGAAUUAUGAUUUCUAGUCCAGUGUGUCUCAGCAAUUCAUUUGUCCACAAUUUUUUGAAUGGAUGGCUGUAUACAUAAUAAUGAUAGCAAAUAUAAUAGUAAGUGUGGUUGAUGCUUAAUGAGGGUCUCUUCUGAGCCAGGUUCUGAACUAAGCAAUAUACAAGCAUUUCCUUACUUAACCCUCACGACUAGUCCCUAAAGACUUUACCAAAGAGGAAAUGCAAGUUUAGAGAAAUUAAGAUAUUUAAUCUACUAGCCCAAUAGAAUGAAGUAGUAUGUUAAACAUCAAAGAAAUAAGAUAUUAGAAUAUUCAAUAUGACUGCUGUGGGUUCUCAUAUUUCUUUCCUAAAAUUAGGAAUGACCAAACUUGAUUUCAUUUAAAAAGGGGAAGAGGACUCACAUCAAUCAGUUAACAACAUCUAAGGGAGAAGAGAAAUAGCCCAGCAACUGAAACAAGUUUGCCCUGGUGUUCUUUUUUUUUGAUUGAUUUUUUAAAAAAUGACAGUGGAAUGCAUUACAAUUCUUAUUACACACAUACAGCACAUUUUUUCAUAUCUCUGGUUGUAUAUAAAAUCUGUUGACACCAACUCGUGUCUUCAUACAUGUACUUUGGAUAAUGAUGCCUAUCACAUUCCAUCAUCCUUGCUAACCCCCUGCCCCCUCCAUUUCCCUCCCACCCCUCUGUUUUAGGCACGGACUGGCCCCUUACAAGAUGUUCAGAAGUCAUUGAGCUUUGGCCUCAGUACCCCCACACCACACACACUUUUUAACCCUGAAUGUGGUAUGAGAACAGAUUUUAUAAUUUGUCUGAGGUUCUCUAGGCCUUUACUGUCAUCUUACAUUCAUAUAACAAAGCUACAUAUCUGAUUGCUUAAUUUGAUGAUAUCCAGCCAAUCUGAGAUCAGAACUGCAAAUCGUGGUGAAAUCUUGUUUACUUAUUUAAUGCAAUUCCAAGAGUUUCUAGUGUUCACCUUUAAAGAGCCAACAAAAACUUCUUUUUUUUUAAAACCAUGAAAUGGGAAAUGGCAUUGGUCUGGUUGGUUUCCAUGUAAAGAAGAACUCAUGAGCCUAGUGGCCUUCUGAUAACCCUGAUCUGCUUGGGACUGGCAGGUAAAGAUGUUCUCAGUCACAUCUCUUCCCUUGUAGCCUGUGAACAAUAAAGAAAACUUUUCCACCAUGCCUUCGGGACUAAAGGCUGUUAGACAACAUUCUGGACAAAUGGUCUCCAUGGAAACUUGAGAUGAUUGAACUCAGAUCUUGCCUUGCUUCCUCUGAAGCAGGAUCAGAGAUCUGCCUGUUGACUCUGUGGCUUCUCAGAAGAUUUGGAAAUAUCCUUAAUGUGGGUAUGGGAUGGGGACAGGGGAAUUAUUGUGGCAUAGGGGACAGAGGAAGUUUCCAAACACAUUAGGGUUUGGCAAAACCCAAGAACCUCAUGCCUGGGCCUUUUCCCUUCACUUUUAAGUCCAUAUACAUUUCAAAGGGAACUUCGUCCUCAUUUCAGGAGUGACUACACCAGUGUGCCAAGACAGUGGCAAUGGAGACUGCUACCUAGCAUGUCCCAUGGUGUUUUUUCCCAUUCAUUGCUACUUAGCCACCAAAACUCGUUCAUUUUCAUCAAGUCUUCCUCUCCAUCAAGUCUAGCCCACUGUGACCGCUACCUUAAGACAAUGUAACAUAUCACUCACAAGGUGGCUCUUGAAAACCACAUGCAGACUUACUGGCCUUAUAAAAAUUGUUUUAACUAUAUGUAAACACAAGCAUAGAAACAAAUGUGCAUGCACUUUUCAUGCACUUACUCAAAACUAUUUACUAAACACCUUUGACAGCCCACCACUGUGUUUGGCACUGGGCUCCAAAUGGAAAACAAGAUUAGCAAUGUCUUGACUCUUACCCACCUCACAUGGGGAACUGUAUGUCUUGAUGUCUGAACCCAUGGGAUUUUCAUUUAUCCAGGUGAUCAAGCAAUGACACAGAAAGGCUAAUGUUCUUGAAAGAAGAUUUAUUAUUAUUAUUAUUAUUAUCUGCAUUUCUUUAGAGAAAGAGGUAUGCCAUGCAUGGGAAGCAUGGGGCUACAUGGGAAACACCGGGUUUGGUCAAGAGACAGCAGGAGCAAGGAGAGGCAAGCCUGGGCUGGGGAGUUUAUUGGGGUUUCUGCAGGGAAGGCAGAGGGAACGCUUUAGGAAUGGCCGGUUUGAAUAAUUGCAGCAGGCUUUGGAAUUUUUGCCUGAUGUCUGACCCUGGGAUGAUUUAGGGCAGGAGAAAUACUAGUUUGAUGUGUAAGAGUUAAAGGGGAGCUAUUGGGACAUAGGAAUGGUGGGUCUAUUUGUUGGUUUAUAUAUAAAGGGUGAGACUUUUACUGUCUCUAAGAACAGUUAAUCUCUCCCUGAAAAGCAAACUUUUUAAGAUGCUAAAUCAUCAUAAAAUACAGAAAAAAAACUUAAAAACUUGAUUAAUAGUCUGUAUCCAUCGGGGUUUAGUACAGAUAACAAAACCCUCCAGGUAAUCCAAGGCAAAAAUAAUUUAGUGUAGGCAUAGAGUAUUUACAAAAUACUAGGUCAGCUGAAAAGGAAGAGAGGUGGCCCCCAUCGGACAUUUAAUCAUUUCAAGGGCAUACAAUUCUUACUUUGAAACAGAGGGAAAGGUGUUGCUGCUACUGAUCCAGUGAUCCCCACACAACUGACUUAUACCACAAGGCUGUUGACCCGACAUGGAGUGCUGUCCACUUACCAUGGCUGACUGACACCUGUAUAACCUUGCUUACCAGCAAGAGAACUUUAUAUGUUUUCCUAGGAAUGGAAAGGGAGAAAGGAGGGAACAAGGAUGGCCAUGGAUCUCUGUGGUCUACACAGCACAGCACCCCAGACAGAUCCAUGCUAACUACACCAGGCUGUACCUCCUCUCUGUCCUGUAAGUGAUAGAGAGGCUUACCUGCCAGACAAUGGCCCACAGCUGACCUUCCUCUCGGGCUGCCCUCUCUGCUCUUGCUCUUUCUUUCCUUCAUUCUUUCAUAGCAGAAAACCUUCUAUGCACUCUUGAAGAGGCAGCUCAAGCAUUGCCUCCUUUGUGGCAAACCCUCCUUUUCUUCAUCCUGUUAAAAACUGGCCGUGCCCUCUACCCCCAGAGGGGCAGAAGCAGAUUCUCAUCCUGGGGUCUGCCAUGUUUCUUCCGCUCUUCUGUGAGUGUCUCUGCUUGACUGUGAUCUGCUUAGGGCUACGACAUGGCACACUCUAGACACAGAGUAAAUGAUGCUAGGUGAAUGGGCAAGACUGGGACUCUCACCACAGACCAAAGAUGCAGGUAGGGAAGCCAACAGAGUCCAGUCCACUCAGGGAGGAACCAAGUGGAUGAAUCCUAUUUUUAUCAAGGCUGAAUGAACUUGAGCAAACAGGAGGAAGCAGAAAAUAAUAUCUUUGAUAUCACUCAGAGAUACUAGUUAGUUUCCAUUGCAACUCACAGAAACCCAGCUCGAAUGAGAAUAAAGAAAUAAAAAGGAAUAUACUGACCAGCAUAGCACAAAGGCCACGGUUCUGGUUUCAGGUAGAGCUGGAUCUGGUCUACACUCUAAAUCAUAAGGGGUCUGUCACUUUGGCUCAGUUUUCCUCUGAGGCCUAUAUUCUCACACUGACUCUUCCUAUGUGGUAGCAAAGGUGAUCACCACCACUUCCUACUUAUAACAUACCUACUUGGCAACCUUAGUAGAAAGGGAGUCUCUUUCUCAAUACUUUAAGCAAAAUAUUUCAGGAUUGACUGUCUUGGCCCAGUCUGGUCCCAACCACUCCCCAUCCAACGUCAGGUGGAGAGAACAUGUCUUGUUCACCUUCAAAACUUCAAAACCAGGGGUCUCCAUAGGUCCUAUCAAGCCCAUGGGCUGGGUGUGUUAAGAAGUGGCCCUCAAAGGAAAACUGAAGUGGUGUUACCAAAAGAGAAGAAUUUACGGUGGGCAGGAAGAACCACAGAUGUUCCCACAGUGGACAUUUGGCACUUGGCCGCCUCUAAACCUCACUCUUCACUUUGAAAGAGACUUUAAACCCUUCAAGAGCAACAGCAAAACUGAGACCACUCUCUGGGUGCCUCGCGGAUGGGCUGCCCAAGAGUUCUGGUACCAAACAGAAAAAUUUGACACCAUUUCUGAGUUUCAGUUGAGAUUGGGGGAAAAGAAGGAAAAUCCCAUCAGUUUUGGGUCUUGAGUAGUAAGACAAGAGAGGCAGAGGGGAAAACACUUGGUAUGUAAAUGUAAUGAACAACAGAAAAUAAUGAAAAAGGAAGUGCUUCCUCUCGUUUGUCAGCCGGGCCUGUGAGGAACAAGAGAAGCACCUUCUCUGGAGCCUCAGCUGCUCUCUGCCUUUCCAGCCACCUCCUUGGGAAGAAUGAGGCUUUAACAACCAGCAUGGGGUCCGGGCUGGCCUCCACCCAAGCCUGAACAGUGCCCCCAUUGAGGGACCUCAGGGGCAGCCCUGGAUGCCUCUCCCUUCUCCUACUCCCCUCAAUGGGCUAUUUGUAGGACUAACAAGGACUGGGAGACAUGCUGCCCAUCUCCUCCGAGGCCUCAACAGCUGCAGGAUUCCUCAGGAACUCCACAAGGCCCUGCACUUCCCUGCAAAGAAACCCACAGGAGGGAUGCCGGAUUCAGGAAGGGAUGCCUCCUUGAUGAGAGAGAAAAACACUCCUCAGUUCUCUUCUUCCUCCCAUCUCCUGGGGUAGCAACGGUUCACCCCCAAAAUAUCUGGUAUUCUGCCUUCUUGCAGCUCGAACACCCUCCCUGUGCCAUCUUCCUUGCUGGCUGGGAACAGAAAGGAGGAAUGAUGCCUUCCUCUAAGACAGAGUUUAUGAUUGCAGCCAUAUCCAAAUAGUCCAUCUUCAUCACCCUCUUCCUCUGUGACAUAAAGUGACCAAGAGUGGAGAGUGGCAGCCAAAAAGUUCUCAUCCAACACCAAGGCCACAGCCUACACAGAAGGACAGUAGGCAGUGGUGUAUUCUGUUUCUCCAGUGUCCCUCAGGUAAUGACUCCUAUUGCGUGGGGAAAGAGACCAUCAUAGUGACCAGACUGGACAGGGAAGGGCAAAUCAUUUCUGAUUUUCUACUUCCAUAGGAUACAGAGGUUUCCUCAUGUGUUUUCAUUUAAGAUAUGCAAGUUAACCCGUGCCCAAAUCUCUCCCUCCUGCAGUUAUUGCAUAUGAAAAUCUCCCAUUCUUGUGGAAAUUCUCUGUGCGUAGAUUGCAACACAGCAUGGCUAGAAAUCUGUCUGUGUGUAGUUUACUCAAGUGUAAAUACUCCUGGACUCUAGAUACUGAGCCUUAUAAGUGAUUAAUAUUAGGGUUCCGUGCGGCUGUUCCUGUCUUCCCCAGAGCAACAGCUGGGAUAAAGGAGAGAAGGGGAGCUCCAGAAAUAAACUGCCCACACUAUGCACUGGACAGAAUCCGAAGGGGGAUCUGGUACAACUUCAGAUCUGGUUUCCUCCACAGUCUCCUUGCCAGACUGUUGGAUUUGGCCUCAUUCUUCAGGACUGGGGAACUCUUUAGCUCCCAUGCCAGUCCAUGCCAAUUUUGAAUAAAUCUUAGAGAAUUCUUCCUUGAAUCAACCUCUCAAUGAUUUCCCUCAAAUGCCCACACAUUGAUCCUAAUCUUUCCCUAGUGACGUAUACUCUGAUUCCAUGAAAUGCUCAACUCUUCAGAUAAAAAUUUCCACACAGAAAACACUCAUGCAGCCUCCUGAACAUUUCCAUUUGGGGAUAAAGCAUGGUUCCUGCAAUCCCUUGACAGUUCAAUGUACAAUAUAGUUACAUGAUUUUUAACCACCUGGUUAACUGAUUUAUUUGCCUUGGACACUUUUAAAGAUGAAAUUCCGCUGAGGCUUGGCCAGGGUUAAAGUACAGAUCCAUCACCACCUCAAUAGAAUUCUUCUUUGAAUGCACUCUGAGACUUGAUGUUCAUCAUGUGACUUUGGACUCCUGCUGAACUUCCUUGGUGAAAAAAAACUCAUGAGACUUUUCACAUGAACUUCUGUUAAGCCAGUUAUCUCCAGUUAAUUGAUUUUUUAACCAAAGACCUAAUAUUUAUUUCUUAUUUAACUUCUUCCUUCUAGAGUCAGUCUGUCAAUAUAACAUGUAGAACAUUUCUAAUAUUGAUUCAGUUAGGAAAACCUCUGAAAUGUAUGUAAUUUAAAAUAUCCAAAUGUUUGUUUAAUAUUUUUGUUCAUAUUGUUCAUAAAAGUGAAGGCCAAACUGAGAAGCUCAGAUACAGAGAUCUGAAACCCAAUGUCAGACACAGUGCAAUGUCAUGUUCAAAACCAUGUCAAUACAGCUGGGCAUGGUGGCACACGCUUAUAAUCCCAGUGGCUUAGGAGGCUGAGGAAGGAGGAUCAAGAGUUCAAAGCCAGCCUCAGCAAAAGUGAGGUGCUAAGCAACUCAGUGAGAUUCUGUCUCUAAAUAAAAUACCAAAUAGGGCUGGGAAUGUGGCUCAGUGGUUGAAGUGCCCCUGAAUUCAAUCCCCAGUACCGCCUCCCCCCACCGCCACCAAAAAAAAACAUGUCAAUACAAUACAGACAGAUGCCAGACAUUGGAGGGUUCAAUCCUAUGUCUACAGAUCCAGGUAAAACUCAUGUAAAAGAACAAUUAUUAUUGGAUGUACCCAAGUAUUUUUAUGUUUUCUUUAAGUUGACAAUAGAUAGGAGUGUUCAGUAUUUUUUUUAUACUAAGAUCUUAUGGGUACAGAGGUCCCAGCCUCUUGUGCAUUACAUGAUGGGCUUGUGCGUUACGUGAUGAGUUUUAAAUAUUAUUAUUUUUAUUAAAACAACCUUCUUGAUAACAUCCUAUAUUGCUUCUUUCUGUGACAAAUUCCAAAAUCAAAGCCUACCCAGUCAAUAUGAUUAUCAAAUUCACAUCCAAACCUUAGCCCUGUGUUUCCCUGGGAUUUUCUAAACCCUACCCAAACGGGUAUUUUAUUUCCAUUUUCCAGGGAAAAUAAAGCCUUUCUAUAAAUUAUUUGUACACACUAGCUUAAGUCCAAGUUCUUACAAAACAGAUUUGAAUAUUUAGUCAAGACAGCUCUCAGGGAAGAAGCCUCCCAGUUUGAAUAAACCCCUUUUGGCUAAGUCAUGUGAAAGUUACAAGCAAGGCUCAACUCAGAUGUUUUUCCAGAGCCAUUCCCCAGCUUUAUGACUAAUAGAAAUUGAGUUCGAUCUGAAAAAUGGAUUGAAUAAUAACAUGAGAAUAACUAAGUCACUUAUUUGCGUGUUUUAAUGUCAUUUUUAAAAAGUCUCAAACUAAGUUCAGAUUUUGAGCGAGACUGAUUAUGGGACAAAUGAUGAGCAGGAAAGCCCAAGUAAAUCUAUUACUGCUGGACCUCAAGCCCUCCACAAUAUUAAUUCUUUUCCUAGGAGACCCUAUUAAAAUAAUAAGUUGGAUCAUAGCUCACCUUGCCGCAUCCCAGCCUUGUGAAAGAAGCCUUCCAAGCUGGGUGCACAGGCACACCCCUGUGGUCCCAGCUACUCAGGAGGCUGGAGCAGGAGGAUCCCUCAAACCAGAAAUUCAAGGUCAGCCAACACGGCAAGUCCCUGUCUCCAAACAACAAAAACAGAGCUAAAUAAGCCUUUCAGGAGUUAGCCUCUCUCUUUCCAAAAUGCUUGUUCAAAUCCUAAUGCAGUCUUCUCAUUGCUCUGCAGGAGCAAUGCUGAUAAGAUAUCACUUCUGUCAUCCACUUCUAAUGUCCAUCACCCUUCACAGGCAAGUCACCAGUCCUUCUCAUAAAGCAUCUCCACAUUCAGCACUUCCUUUGGUUUCCCUUAUUUUCACCUGUCAGAAUCACAUACAUCCUGAGUCUUGAAGGUUUCAGGGAUCACUCUUUCCCUUAGUAUCUAAAUCUAAUUAUUGGGACUGCAGGAAGUCUGGUGCCCACCUCAAUGUCUCAGAGGCUCAGCCAUAGGAUGCUCCUCCUGGUUGCCAGUCACCUCAUCCUCCACACCCUGCUCCUGGAUGCUCCUCAUUAGUCCUGUCCUUCUUGGCCAUCCUCACAGCCCUUUCUCCUUCGCAUGUGCUCUCUUCUUGUCCCCUCAUUCUGCAAGGCACUAUGACAUAGGCCACAUUGUGUAAGACUUACACUGAAGGCCUGGAAAUUUUGGAAAUGAGUUAGUUAUAGAACAACAACAAAAAAUUAAUUGAGGCAUCACUUUUGCUAAUUUCUAUCCAUAAGUAUUCCCUUCCUGCAUAGGUUGCUGGGCCUGCCCUCAAAAUGGAAUCCCUGGCACCACUCCUUCCUUCCUCACUCGCCACUGGUAACUCAAUCUUCCUUAAUAUGAAAGAGAAGGAGAAGAGUCAUACCAGAGUAAGACUUCAGCUCCACAAACCGUCUGCAGGAAAGCAUGCCACAUCAUCAACAGGGAUUACAGGAGCAAAAGCCAUGGAGGUUGUAUUGUUGGAGGUUUCCUGUGCUUUUAUGAACAUGGAGACCUCUGAGAUUUACUUAGGUGGUCACCCAUUUGGCAGCUGCAAGAUUGUGUUCGGGUUGGGGCUUACCCUCAUCCCAGGGAAUUAUCUCAUUUCACAGACUCAGCUCAAACAUCAUCCAUGGAGCCCACUGUGCCCACCCAUGUUCCCUUCCUGCUGGGCAGCUUCUUGCUUCCUCCACCUGCAAACUUUAUACUCUCUACACAUCUUUUUCAGCCCUCUUCAUGACUCAAUCAGUCAGGGUCUCAGCAAGAGACAAACAGUAUCUUCACAUUGAAGAUAAUUAAUACUAUUUACAAGAAGCAGGAUAUAGGGAAACUAAAUGAUGAUGCAUACCCCAGAGCAAAUAAGAGGGCCUCUGUCCUUACCCCUAGACUGAAUAGGUAAAAAGAGGGAGUGGUUCCCAGAGACUGGGAAUAGAAGGAGAGGGAUGUUUGACAAAAGCACUGCAGCCUUCAGCAAAGGGAUGCAAACAACCUAGAGCAAACUCUCAGGAAAGGGGCUCAUGGGAAACCCUGGGAGCUUCACUCUCCUAUCUCCAUCCAUCCUAGCUGGAAGCCAGGGGGGCAAGGCAGCCCUUGGAUUUGAUCCAUUGAGGGCCACCUCCAAGGCAACAAUGGAGGAGAAGGGUAGUAAGUGGACCUGGAGGGCUAACCAGAGAUCCAGCACAAUAACAUACCAUGAUUACUGAUUGACAGGCACAGUCCAAGAGUCUGUUGCCCAAGGGCCUCUCUUUGAUUUAACUGUGCAAAGAAGAUAGAGGUCCAGGCUGCAUCCUAUGUACUGCACAACAUCCACACCUUCCUGCCUGCCCCCUUCUAAUCUUUGAAGUGUUUGGGGUUGAGACUUCUCAUGAGCCUCUCUUUGCUGCCCGCCCCCUGGGACCCCCAUUUUUUCUCCUCUCUCACUAGCCUACUUCUUCUCGUGAUGGAUAACACCCUUCUUCCUUCUUUUUUCCCAAAUCAGCAUGAAUUCAAGUGUUACUCUAUGUGUCAGACUUGUAACUGAAGGGUGGGGAAUGAAGGAGAUAAUUAGACUUCUCUUAGGAAUUUAUUAGACUUCUCUUUCAUAAAUAUUCAUUAAGCAGUCUCUACCACGAAGAAUUUCUCAAUUAUGCUCACUACCGUCUUCUAGAAAACCCACGGUCUUCAAAGGCCUUCACAUCCUCCUCUAAUGACAACCUUCUAAAACCCAAAUUUUGUUAUUCUCUUCUUUGCCUAAACCUUUGGAUAUCUUAUUUUAGUACAAAAGUUUUUUCUAACCAAAUUGAAAAAUUCUAUAAAUAAGAUUUUAUUGGAACCAGGGCCAGGGUUAGGGUGAGGAAAGUGAGGCAAAGUCCUACUCAUGCAGCAUCAGAUCCUCUUUUUUCAAAGGUUUUGUACUUUGUUCAUCAUGGGUGUCUUUCAUUAAUUCUAAUUAUUAAAAAUAUUAGAAUAUAAGGGUAUUUAUUUUGAUCACUACAUUUUAACUAGGGAUUGAACCCAGGGGCAUACUGAGCCACAUCCCCAACCCUUUUUAUUUUUUAUUUUGAGUUACGGUCUUUCUAAGUUGCGUAUGGCCUUGCUAAAUUGCUGCGGCUGUCUUUGAACUUGUGAUCUUCCUGCCUCAACCUCUCGAGUUGCUGGGAUUACAGGUCUACAUCACCAUGACUAUCUGAUCACUACAUUUCUUUGCAUCUCUUUUUUUCUGUACCCAAAGUAAAUGCUUCACUCAAUUAAUCCUAGUGGUGGCCAUGCCAGGGAGGAGUUGGAUGAAGGGACUCAUCAUUUUUACGGUAAAUGUGCCCAUUAAGGGAUUCUUCCAAACCAAAAGAUAAAUUCUUUUCCCAAGCACUUGCUUUUCCUUAAAACUCCUGCUAAUUUUGCAAAUUAUUUUUUCAACUACCCCUCCCUCAUUGGGAUAAAAAAUGGUGUCUCAUCUGUCUCUGUUUCCUUGGUGUCCUGACUUAGCAGAUGAAUUCUAAAUACUUACUGAAUACAGGGAUCCAGUGCAAAGCUUUAUAAGUUUAGUCAGUUAAUUGUUUAAUCUAUUACUUUUUUUAGGUAAAAAUCCAACCUUAGAAAACCAGCUGGCAAAGAUCUGAGAGAUCAUUUAAUCUCAUUUUUUUCAUUUUACACAUUAGGCAGCUGAGGCCUAUGUCCAGUUAUACUUACAGGGAAGUUGCCUAGGGUUUAUCCAGAAGAAUUAAUAUUUCCCACAAUCAGUAUACCAUCCCAUCUAAAUACUUUUGUAAGAUCUUAGCAGACAGAAUAGAGUGAAAUUCUCCUGGAGGUUCAGAAGCCCUUGCAUUAAUACAAUGCUAUUAUUUCUCCUAAUAGACAACCCAGGGCAUGAAAAAGGAGCUCAUUAUAUGAACUCACACAAAGGAGGCUAAAUGGAAAAAUUACUGACACCCAACCCAAUAACCUGAGUCGGAGCAACUUCUAUCAUAGUGAGAUACAGAAAUAUUAAUUUCAAGAAGUUUUAAAUCAGAGCCAGAUAAUGUAUUUGCCCAAGGUAAAGGCAUGCAUGGAAGGUCUGCAGAGAAGGACGACGGUGAUAAGGAAACCUUGCCUCUUUUCAAUGAGCUCAUUGUGGCAACUGUGCAAGGCCCUAGCAGGCAGACAAGGGUCCCUUCACUCCUGCACGCAGGACAGUUUGGCCAAAGGACAUCUAGGGUGACACGCCUCAAACAGUCAGCACUAAUCUCUGUAUCCCGGAAUAGCCCAAAGAACCAGUCCAACCUGACUGUCUGCCUUCUUGGUUCUUUGUCCAGCUCUCCUUGGUUUAUGCUGGAACUUCGGGGACUUCUCUGGUGACAUGAUCUUUGUCCACAACAACAUCCUUCAAGAGAUUGAACAACCCCCAGGUUUGCCCAGCGGGUGAUACUAAUAUUAGUUCCAAUUAGAAGUAACGAUUCAAAACACAUGAGGCACACAUUGACCAACAGGGCCUGCAGAGCUGCCCCAGAUUCAUUUCUUCCUCACAACAACCCCUGGCAGAAAAGAGAUCAAACUGACCUUGAAGAAGAAACCUCCUUUUCUGAUCAGUUACCAUGGCAACACAAACCCUCCCCCCCCAAAGCACCUGCCUGAGGGCUCCCACCCACCAGCUGGUAGUGAGAGUGGACCGUCAGCCUGGGCUCCCAGUCACUGCUCAGUCCAUCAACAAAGGUGCCAGCAGUGCCAGUUGGCUUCAUGAUAUGGAUACCUGCCCGCUAAGCAUUGGCCCAAAGAUCGGGGACUUUCACAAAGGCCAGCCAACAGCUGGCAGGCAGGAACCACAAGGUCAUUUUCAUCCUGGGCUGAAUUGGAACGUGCACUGAGGAGACAAAGGCUGUCUGUAACCACAGCUUCCCUCCUCCCGGGGUGUUUUAUUUACAGCUCUAGGUCCUUGCUAUGGGAGGGCGGAGUGGCUGAAGGUGCCUUUUCUGUGCUUUUCUUUUUUACCCUUUUCACAUUGCCCUGCCUUGUGUUUGCCCACAUAGAAAAGCUUUCUGUGCCCCAUGUCUCAUUUUAUCGCAGAUCAGAAAGCUCAGCAUAAGUCACCCAGGGCCAGUGGGUUCAGAGGUGGAGCUGGUAACCAGAAGCCGUGUCAAACUUCCUCUGCUGGCUCCACACCAAGGCCUCUGAGGAUUUCUUGUCACAUGAGGUUAGUGUAGUUUCACAUCCUCUAAAGCAAAGCUCUGUCGAAACUCUCUAGUCUCACAUGGCUUCAGCUCAAAACAACCACCCCACUCAGCUGCCUUCUGAACUGUUUCAAGAGCAGGUCAGGAGACCCGGGUUCCAAUUGCAGCUCAGUCAGCUUGACCUUGAGCAAUUACUGGUCCUCAAUUUUUUCAUCAGAAAAAUUAAGGGGCAAAGUAGCUGUCAUUAGAGCAUUGAAGUGCCUUUCUUUCAACACAUUCUUUUCCCCUGUUUUUUGUUUUUCUCCUUAAAAACAAACAAAGACUUGAUUUUCCUGGCUGCUCUUAACGUGUAAGUUGUUGACUUAUCAAAGGCUAAUGGAGAUUAUUUCAGUUUAAAAGAUAAAUGGAUAUGCACAACAUGGAUGAAUCUCAAAGAUAUAUUAUGUCAAGUGAAAGAAGCCUUUUAUAUAAAAAGCUCAUACUGUAUAAUUCUAUUAAUACAAAAGUUUCAAACAGAAAAAACCAUUCCAUAGUCAAAACUGUUAGGCUGAGGGUUGCCUCUGGGAAUGAAAGAGGAGCAGGGAUUGCUGGGAAGGAGUGAGAAGGAACUUUCUAGAUUGAAGGUUAUAUUCUAUAUCUGGAUAGGUUUGGGUUACACAGAUGAAAGUCUUUGUCAAAACUCAUAGUAUGCUACUCCUAAGAUGUAGUGAUUGAUAUAAUAAAGUGAUUUUAGCAAAGUGUUAAUUGUGGAAUCUAAGUAGUGGAUAUAUGAGUGAUUACUGUGUAACUCCAUCAAUUUUUCUGUAUAUUUGUAAAUAGUCAUAAUAAAAUAUUGGGGGAAAUAUACACAGUGUAAUGUUACAAAGUUCCGGCCCAACCAUCACUCUUGCUUCAUUUGAACUUUUCUCCCAUUGAGUCAGUGGAAAUGGGAAUAGUCAUUGAUUAGGUAAGAUUAAUCACUGGUGCUCUAUAAUGACUAAUUACUCUAUCACUGCCCAGCCUUCCAGGGAAGAGGAUAAGUUCUGUACAUCCAGAACCUGCCCUUUGGUCUCACCUGCCUUAGCACAGGUAUUAGAAGCAGGUUCCCACCCAUACUACAUAGGCAGUUGGUGGCUCCUCACUCUGAAUCUCUCCGCUCUUUGAUGACCAAUAUCUUCAGUGGUCUUUCAAUUAACACAACCCAAUUAAAGCAUUUUAAUUCAGCCCUAAAUCUAAUAGGGAUAUAGAUCUUUAGAACCACUCUGAUAUUUAACGUAUUAAUUACUCAGGGACAGAUUAUAAGCAUAUCUUUUCCUAGACUCACUGCUCUGUUAACCCACAGUAAAUAUAAAUAUCAAACUUGGUCCCUGAAAGACUGACUUUUGUGACCACUUAUCUUUAAGACCCUGAAGGCAUUCUUCUCUGUUCCUCUCCAAUUUGCUUACUUCUCUCUGAAAACCUUCAAGCCAGAUCCAUGCAAAGAAGCAUAUGGUCUGCUAUGAUCUGCCCUGGGAACAGAGAGACCCAACUCACUUUGGUGAGAGAAGAGAAAUAAAGGAAAGAAACACAACUAAGAAAGUAGAGAAAAAUGUAUCCUGGGUGCAGAAUUCAUGAUGGGUCCAUUUAUUUAAUUGACAAGUCACUCAAAUCAAAUAGACAUACACACACUUCCCAAGCACCAGUCAUGGUUUAACACUUAGGCCAUCCAAGGAGUCUUAUAUUUAUUGACCCAAACUAGUAUCUAACCUAAUUUAGUGAAGAAGAUAAAUUAUAAGCUUAUACAAAGUUGAAUAGUGAAAUAUUUAGACAAUUAUUGAAUAUAUCAUUAGAAGAACAUCCAAGCUCCAUGAACUCAACUGAGGUAGGGAGGCCCUAGGAGUUUAGAAAGGAAUAUAUAUCAUUUCUAGGUGGAGGAGACCAGGUACCUCACAGAGUGAGCUUUAAGCCAUGUCUGGAAAAAGAGGUAAAAUGUGAGAAAUGCAAAAAAGGGAGAGACUACCGUGGGCAGGUAAAAUAGGAAAAUUAAAGCAGAGCUUCUCUUCACAUCCCUUAAGCAACAGAGAAGCAUCAUUCAUAUACAAGAGGCCUCUGUGAUUCAGUUCCUUGAAGAAAUUGUUUUCAAAGAUAUCCACCCACCAUAAAAAAAAAAUGCUUAAAUAAAAUUGAUUUACUUAAAAACCAGCCUGGUCUACCCUAAUGUGUUAGAGCAGACAGAAAGUGGAUCAGUAAGAUCACUUCCUUAAACCAAGACACAGACCACAUUAUCAGUGUUUUGUCUUCCCAGGGGACCUCACAAUAAACUAGAACCUCUGGAGGACACAUGAGAGGAUGUUAGUUGGCCCUUAACAGGCAUGAAGAGCAGGCCUGAGGGUCCUCACUCCUUUAGCCAAGUCAUAGCAGGAAAGAGAGAGGUCCCAUGUGCUCCAUGGUCAUCUUGCACAUUAAUGUUCAUUUCCAGCUGCCAGUCCUGGAUGUCCAAUAAGCCACUGGAUUUCCACAAAAAGGAAAAAUGUUAAACUUUUCUCCGCAAAAAGUCCAAACUGAUUUUUCACUAAGUAGAUUUCUCACCAUUUUAAUUGCAGCAGAUGAUGAUGUCUGCUCUGGAUAAAAAGUCAAAUUGGAUCUGCAUAUGUAUAUGCUCAAGGUACCCACCCUACAGUAUAACCAUUAUGUUACAGAAUCAGCAAAGGAGUUGGAGGCAGAACACCUGAAUUUAAAUCCCAACGUUGCUUCACAUGACUAGGCCAGUCCCAGGAUGUUUUUGAGCCUCUAUUUCUUCAGAUAUACUGUCAACUACCAUGUAAUGUGGAUGAGAGAAUUGGAUAGAACAAUAGAUGUGAAACCUUUGCUAAGGAUGCUGGCCCAUAGCAAAUGCUUUCUAUAUGUUUUCCAGAUUGAAUUUAGAACUUGCUUUGUGAAGUGAGAACCAUAUUAAAUUGAUCAGAAAUCAGAUAUGAACACCCAUAGUUAAUCAGCGAUUGCAUUGUUUUUUCCAUUUCACAAAUUCUUCUGAGUUUCCACCCAUAUUAAAAAAAAAUCUAUUAGGAUUGCAGAUUUGAUAAACGUCUUUCAGGAACAUUGCCCCUCACCCCACUUUCCUCCAUAUGUACAUUUGUUAAAAAUUAACAUUCAGUCCUUUUUGUGGAGGUUUUUAUCAGGAAAUCUCAAACAGCACACUGAAGAGAAGUUGAGAUGCUUCUAUUUCCUCCAUUUCUCUGUACCUGUAGAAACUGAGGCACAAGGGUAAAGACACAGGAGACUUUUUGAGUAAUCAGAUAAUGAAUGGCUUUGGGGCCGGGAUAUUCACCUAGAGACUCUAAUAUGGUCACAGGAAUGGGAAGUAAGAGAAGUGGAAAAGCAGUUUAAAAAUACUGCAGUAUUUAAUGUGUGUUGACUAGAACAGAAGUUAAAGACGGAUUUCAGAAUUUUCAUGUCGCCAGUUUCUAAUCAACAGUUUUCUGUCCUCUCACUGACAAGUUUAGAGCAUAAAAGAAAUCUCAAGAGAGUUGCUCUGUUCUACUUACUGCUUCCAGGUAGAAUUGGUGAUCAUUCACAGAAAAAUGGCUCACACUAUGUCUACAAAUGAAUAUGACUUGUCCUGAUUCUAUGUAGGUGACCACAGCUUCAAAGAAACAAGUCAAAACAGGCAAACAUAAAAAAGUAAGAAGUUUAACUUCACCAGAGCCACUUAUAUUGGGGCUAAGGAGGAUCCAAAAGCACAAUGAAAACAAAGAUUAUUAGACUUGGGAGGGAAAAAAAACCAGUCUGUUUUAGACAAAAUUUUAUUUUGCAGCAAAAGAAACUGGUUUCCAAUUUAAUAGAAAUUCCAGGUAAGAGUCUAAAGCCAAGAACUUUCAUGUACCUCUCCAAAAUAAGGUUAGAAAUAAUAUAAGUAUUAGAUUCUAAAUCCCUCACUUCACCAAUGAAGAAACUGAGGCCCAAAGUAUUUAAAUGACAGCUUUGAGGCCUCACAGUCACAGAGUAGGAUUAAGUCCCAUAGUGUUUAUACUUCUUAGAGGGAGCUGUGGUCCCUCCUGCCUUAAUCCUGUCAGAGGCUUUCAUCAGUCUUUGGUUCUUUUACAUGGGCAAUCGAUGUUUUCGCAAGUUCUUAUAUAAAUAAUGACAUCAAUAUGGCUGAAAGAUCCACAUCUUCUUUCCAACCAGCUUAGCACCCCUGGAGAAGUUCAGGAGCCACCAGUUGAACCCAGAUGAGUGUAAACUUUGCCAGGUAAUAUCUAGGCAAUUUUAAAUACCUGCCUAUGUUUUAUAACCUUUCAGCCUCUUUCAGCCUGUAGAUCAAUUUGGAGCACAAAGCAUCUUACCAUGUUAAAAAUAAAUUGGGGUACUGAAAGAUUUUAGCAAAAAAGAAAUCAUUUUUACUCAUUGCUAAUAGGGCUGGUGUCAAUCUCCUGCUCUUAAUGUUAAAGCUACAGAGCCAAGAGCCAUUUAUUUUAUUAAUUUAUCAGACAAAAAAAAAGAAUCGAGUACUUACUCUGUGCCCAGAAAUUGCUAGGUGCCCGAAAUACAGCAGAAAACAAAGUUACUGCUCUUCUGGAUCUUAUUUCAAUGAGGGAAACAAUCAACAAACAAGUCAAGUCACAAUGUGUCAGGUGUUGCUAUGUGUCAGGGAGAAGAAGGUGGGGAAGCAGCAGAGUGAGCACCAGGCUGGAGAGCUAAGGAAGGGCGGAUGCUAUUUAUUGUAUAGAAGAUGGUGUCUCUGAUAAACAGAGGUGGAAAGUGAGGAAGCAACCUUUGUGUAUAUUGGGAAGAAGCUGUUUCCAAGGAAAGGGUGAACAAGUCAAAUAUUCGAAGCAGGAGUGGCAUGUUCUUGGAACAGCAAGGAGACCAGAGCUGAGAAUGCAGAGUGCGUCAGGGGACAGUGGAGGGAGGUGCUAUCUGGAGGCCUUUUAGGACAUCAUAGAGGCUUUGGCUUGUACUCAAACUGAGGUGGAAAGAUAUUGGAAGGUGUGGAACAGGGGAGAGGUGUGAUCUUAUUUCCACGUAGAAUCAUGUUGCCUGUGUGUGGAGAAGCAACUGCAGCAUAGUGUGGCCUAUUAUACUAACAGAAUGGUGGUGAUGAUGGUGGUGGUGGUGGGGAUGUGGACCUUGAGGUUAGCAGCAGAGGUGGUGAGAGGCAGCAAGAUUCCUGGAAGUAGAACUGGCAGGAUUUCUUGGUGGAUUGGAUGAGGGGUAUGAGGAUGACUUCAGUGAUGACUUCAAGGUUUUAUAUGGGAGCAGCUCUCGGAUGGAACUGCUAUUUGCCAGAAUAAGGAAGGCUAGGAGGGGAAGAGAUUUGGGUUGCAGGGAGGGGAUUUUGAAACAGGAGUUCAAUUCUAAGCAUGCUGGGCUGCUGAUGCUAUUAGACACCCAAUUGAUAGAACUGAUUGAUGUAAAUAAUAGAUACAUCCUAUUAGACACGUGUCUCAAAAUUGGAGUUGGAUACACAGUGGAGAUUUAUUUCCAGCCUGGAGAAAGGUUUGUGUCAUUAGCAUAUGGAUGAUGUUGAAAGGGAUGAAAAGAGAUGAGAUCAGCUAGUAAAGGAGGAUUUAAAAAAAAAAAAGAAUUCAGCGAGACCCUGUCUCUAAAUAAAAGAUAAGAAAAGACUGAGGAUGUGGUUCCGUGGUUAAGUGUCCCUGGUUCAAUCCCUGCUACCAAAAGAAAUUAAAAAAAAAAAAAGAAAAGAGAGGCCCAGGGACACUCCAGUGUUUGGAGGUCAUUGAAAAAUGGAGAAAUAAGCAAAGAAGGUAAAGAAGGGACCAGAGAGGUGGACAAAGAUAAGAGGCUGGCCAAACCAGGAAGGACAAAAUAUAGCCUCCUGUGUCUCCUGUUACCAUAUCUCUAGUCUCCUGUAUAAACCAGUAACAAUAACAGCAAGAAUAGUAUGAGUAAGACACUUACUGGGUAUCUAUCCUGUCUCAGUUAUUGUGUUUUGGCAAAUCUCACACAUCACCGCUGAUGGAUUGGUAGUAGUUACCUGGAACAUUGUGUUGAGAAGGAUUCUGAGGCUGCCUCUUAACUUAAAGGAAAACAAUUGCAUUUUGAUAUAUUCCAGAAACAAAGAAUGGGGAACUGGCAUCACAUUGCCAGGUAUUUGUGAUCACUGUGCUGGGACUUUACGUGUAUUGUUUGAGGAGCUAACAACACCACGUAAUGAUGUAAUUAGCCCCAUUUUUCAAAUGCAGAAACAUAGUUCAGAGAGGUUUAUAACCUCAUACGGUGGCAUAGUGAGAUGUGGCAAAGGAGAAAAUUGGCUCAGCUGAGUUUUGCCCCACAUUCCACAACCUCCUCUUUCCUUUCUCCAGUGGAUCAGAAAAGUGCAUGGACUCUCAGAACCCCAGGGCACACCUUUUCCAAUUUAAACUUAUGUCUCAAAAAGCAUAAAAUCAUGCUUGAACUGAUAUAGAAAUAUAUUUGCAGGUUCAAAUAUAAGAAAAAAAGAAACAUUCAAAAGAAAUAGUACAAUAAAAAAGCAAGUGUUUUCUUUUUUUAAUUUGUUUUUUCUACUUAUACACAAGAGUAGGGUGUAUUGUGACACAUUAUACAUACAUAGAAUAAGUAUAACUUGUUCCAAUUAGGAUUGUAUAUGGUGUGGAGUUACAUUGGUCGUGUAUCCAGGACAGGAAAGAUAUGUCCAAUUCAUUCUGCUGGCUUUUCUAUUCCCAUUCCCCUCCCUUCCCUUCACCUAGGCAGUUGAAGAUGACACAGUGUGACACUGGAGGAGCAAAUGUUAAAAAUAUGACUAUUAUUUUGUCUUCAUCAUUCACAUAGCAACCUGGUAUUAUUCCCUGCCAAAAAAAAAAAAACCUCAGUAGCAUCAAGAAUUGUCAGCUUCUCUUUUAGCACCAAGCCCUUCCCACAGUCAUUUGUAUUAACAUUUGCAAAAGAUUUAUUUCUCUUUGAUUCAAAUAAUUCCACAUUCCCAAGAAUAUCUGGACUGGAGCAUGGCCAACUGCCUGCAGGGUCUGCAGCCAUUUCCCUGCUCCUGGGGAGCUCUCUGGGUGCUCAUGAAUGGCUCAUUGUUAAAGACAAACCCACUGCAGAGAAUAGAGAAAACACAGAAGAGGAAUCAGUGUCAUAAUCUGGGGACCAGUCUGGACUUUGAGCAAUAAAACUGACAGGAAUGGUGAGCACCUAAGGCUGUUGUGAGUCAGAGUGAUUGAUGUCUCCCAGCUCAGGGUUCCCCCAAAAUGGUAUCAACCAUCAACUUCUGGACAGUCCUUCAUGGGACCAAACAGAGUGCUAACGCAGGCCCUAAACUGAAAAUGAUCUCCAAGCCUUUGUUAAGCACUAACUGCAUUCAGGAUUAAGCAGUGAUGUUAGAGAAAAGUCUGAGGCUACCAUCAAGUGAGCUGUAUAGUUUGAGCAACUGAUGAAAGUCCAAGAAAUCAUCUUUUAAACACUUAUUUAGAAGACUGAGAAUCCAAAUCUUGCUCUGAUUUUUGCUUCUGACUUUCUGAAUAUACUCUGCUUAUUUAUCCAAGGCAAUAGGGUACUUCAGAGGAAAGACCAAGUGCCCACUUCAAAAACUUCUAUAAUUUCAGCAUUUUUUGCUGUUGAUCAACUUUCACCAAAUUUAAUUGCAGAAAACAGACGUUUCCUGAUGUCAACUUGUUCCAUUUGAACCAUAUUUAUUAUUUCAGAGAUGUAUUAAUAGACCCCACAACUAAUAUUUAAUGAUUGUAAUUUAGAUAAAUUAGUAGCCACAUUUUAUUUUUCAGAAUAUGGCUCUUUUUCAAAAAAUUACAUUUUUCUUGUAUUGAUUCAGAACUUUUUAUUGUUCUUUUUUGAGUUUUUUUUCAGUGGUCAGCUACCAUAUUUCAAGAUUACUUCCCAUGCAAUAUCACUUCUCUCAACCUGCAGAAAUGCACCAAAACAUAUUGGAGAAAAGCAAUGAACUGAUUCAGGGAAAAAAAAAACAUGUAAUUGAGUUGCAGUCACAAUUAAUCCUUCUGCAGAAACAAUAGCUAUGUCUGCUCAUGUGAAUAUACAUCUACUUUGUGCUACAGAGAAAAAUCCACCUCACUUGCUAAGGCAUGCCUCUGUUCCCCAACUGCCCACCUCACCAUCUUGCAAAUAGGCAAUAAGGCUAUAUGGAGUUUGACCUUUUACUCUGUGGACACUUCUUAGUCUUCAUUGAGGCCAUUAGUAUAUUAAAAACACUGAUGAAGGGCUAUUUGUUGGGUAAAGUCAUUUUCCCCUUGACAUUUAUUAUCAGUAGAAAAGUUUUUCUGUUUUAAUACCCACAUUCUGGCAUAUAAUUACUGUAAUAAAGUCUACUUCUUCACUCUGGGUGACUGCUGCCAGUAUUAUGAAAUCAUGGCAAUGGUUGUAAAAAUAAGGGAGGUCACAACCCUUCCACACACACACACACCCACUCUGCAGCUGAUAUUAAAUAGCUUCGGUGGGAAAAUGCAGACCUUUAAACUUUCUCUACCAAAUUCAAUGCAUUCUGUAUUUAACUUCUUUUUUAAAACAGUUAGUGUUGUAAGAAUUCAAAAACUGCAUAUGGCCAUGGGGAGAAGAAAUAAAAAGAAGGAGCUUAUACUUAAUUAGCUACUAAGUCCAACUUGGACCAAGCACAAUAACAACCAUUUCUUUGUGCUAACUAUUUUUAAUGAUAUGCAUUACAUGCAUUGGCCUGUCUGUUGCCCAGACUGUUCCAGCAUCCAUCUGCUUCAGUCUUAUGCUUUUGGCAAAGGACAGCACUGGGGAAAGUCUCCAUUUUGAUGUUUUGCCGUUUGGGUAGAGAUAAGUCUUAACAGAGAGCAUUCGCUCUAGACCUGAAGCCACCACCACAGAUUCAUGAUCACAAGAUGGUCAACGUCCAAGCACAUCAGAUGCUGUGUAAAGAUGCUUACUACACCUCAAACGGUACUCAAUAUUAUUUUGAUUCAUCCUCUCUGGUUUAAAGAACUUGGAUAUUUUAAUCCACUUGCUUCAAGCUAUUCUCUUAUAUAAUUGUUGGAUACAAUUUUUCUGCUUCCAACCAAGUCCUAAGUCAAGAUAAUUCAGCAUCAUCAAAAGGACAGAUAGGCCAUGACAGCAUGUCAUUUAAAAAAAAUCUUCUAGUACUUUAUGUAAUAGGAAUUUCCUUAUGGAGGGUCUGAGGAAAUAUCUAGUUUAAAAGUAAAAUCUUGAAUUUUCAAAUUUUAAAAAUCCGGAGUAAAGAGUCUCUUGAGAGUCAGAAAGUCAGGAUCUCUUUUUGCCCUCAGAAUGGGGAAUCACUGAAAUCCAUUGUCUUACAAUGCAGCAUAGAAGCAAUUUAGAAUACUAGAGAAAAAGAUGUACAAGACCCGCAAGAAAGCACCCACAGAGCAUAGUACAGAGAAAACCAAGCUCUGAGAACCUCACCCCACUCCACACAGAGCAGGUCUGCUGUUGUCUAUUUUAUUUUCUUGGCCUUAUGAGCCAUGUUUUGCUUAGAGCGGAAAAGAGCCACGACACCCACUUUGGAAAACAGUUUGAGGUUUGCAAAUCCUGCUGCCAGCAGUUCUGUUCCUAGCUAUGUAUCCUAGAGUAAUCUGUACAUAUAUGCCCCAGAAUGCACAUAUGUAAACAUUCACAGCACUGCAGUCCACAAUGACGUCAAACCAGAAGCAACUAAAAUGUCCAUCUGUAGUACCAUGGAUCAAUAAAUACACUCUGACAAACUCACACAACAGAAAACUAUGCAGCAAUAAAUUCAAUAAUGGAUGAAUCUUGCAAACACAGUGUUGAAUGAAAAAAUAAGUCAUGAAAGGACAAAACUAUUCCACUUAUUUAAAGUUUAAAAAACAGGCAACAAUAACCUACAUUGUUCAGAGAUGGAGGUAUAAGUAAUAAAACCAGAAGCAAAAGCAAAGAAAUGAUUAUCACAAAAGUCUGAAAAAUAUUUGUGGGGGAGGAUGGUAAGAGGUUAUAAGCAGAUAGAGGGUAGGAAGCAAGGGAAACUUCUAGGGUGCUAGCAAUGUUUCGUUUCCCAUCCUUGGAAGUUUUUCCAUGUGACUAUUUUAUUAUUCAUUCCACAACUGCAAAAAGUAAAACAAACUAACACACAAAAAGCACUACUCCCUAGACACAAAAUGUUUGAAUCCAUCAUGGCUUUAAUCCAACUUCUUCAUGGUGAACAUGAGGAACUAAGGCAGGGAGAUUGAGAGUGCCUGCCUCUCCUGAUGCCCCGUGUGUGGCUUCUGGGAAUGGCUCUCCCCCUCUCCUCAGAGCCUGGGGACAUGAACAGGACAGGACAGGUGGAAGUUCUGCACAGGAUGCCCUUCUCAAUACUUCACUCUGCUGGCUCCCCAAAGGCUGCUUCCCAAGCUUCUGUGCUUUUGCUUUCUCUCCCUCCAAGGUCAAGAUUUUUCCUCUUGGGAGGAAGCAGUUAAGGGCUAACCUUUCUUUUCCAGUGGGUAUUUUUAAGUCGUCCCAUUUCCAGGGGGCUCCAGAGCCUCUCAUUAUCUUACGAGGCUCUUCUGUGCCAUGUACAAACUGACCCCCUUCUUCUUUACCCCUCUUCCAAAGCCUCUUCUCUCAGUUCUCUGGGGUCCACAGCUGAGGUCCUCACUCAGACCCACCAGACAGAUGCACAUGCUGAACCUCCCUUCGUGUACGGAUACAGGCCCCCACUUGUACCUCCUCCUAGUCCCAUGUCUUCCUGACUUGCCAGUCCUAUAUAGACAAUAUGUAACAUUUAAUCUGCAUCCUAAAACCUACCAUAAUGGGCAUUUGACAGAUGUAACUGAAAAUGUUACACUCAAUGCUUCCUUGGACGCUUUUUAAUUAUGUUCCAAUAAAUCCAAUAAACAGCAGAAAGUUGCAGGCUGGUGUAUAGACUGAUUCUUCUGCCCCUGGGGAGCCUCUUCCUGAACUCAUUCUCCUUGAGCUUCCCAGUGUAUAGUGCUUUUAUUAUCAAAUUUUCAACAUAUUUUUAUUAUCCCCUUGCUUUAGAAAACAUAUCAGUUGCUGAGAAACAUUUAGCCAGAACUCUAUUUACAAAGUAAAACUGUAUGUUAAGGAAAUUCCACCCGAGACGUCACACACAGAUGUGAAUGAUAACACAAUUUUCAGCUGAUAUGGAAGUCUGUUCACUAGAUUUCUCCAGGUUUGUGCCAUUCUUGGAGUCUCAGGAUCUAGAAUAAAUUGAAGAAGAAGAAAUCCAGAAUCCAGAAGACAGAAUCUGAAGAAGUGAAUGAAGGAGUAACAGCAAAAAUUCAGAAAUGUUAGUAUUAUUUGUUUUUUGCUUGAGGCACUUAUCCAACCAAGAGACUUCAGAGCAGAGCCUCACCCUACAACAGAAAUCCCUACAGAGGCCACCAUGACAAUUACCAACCCCAGAUAUGUCCUACCUGUCUCAGUAAUAUGUAUCACAAUAAAACCUGCAGGACAACAAAAGAACUUGUAUCAUCCCUGAGCAUUCAGGGCGAUAGAACUUGAGCUUUCUCCCAGCAUUCACAUCACUUCCCUAAAGCAUGAUGGCUUGAUGACAAAAAUCCAUCAGGGAAUCAUCAUUCCAGGACCAGAAAUCCCAGACCUGUCGAGGUAAAUGUAUAAAACUGAAGCUAUGUCUCGACUGUGAGAGAUUCUAAGAUAAUCCUAAACAUGAACUUACAGAGAAAACCCAAAAUCCAAGGUAGCCCAAACCACCUAGCAGAGUGAAAAUACAGAAAAAAGGAAGUAAAACUGUAGGCAGAAAAACAAACAACAAAUAUACAAAUAUAUAUAUAUAUAUAUAUAUAUAUAUAUAUAUAUAUGACAAUCCAAAUAAAUGUGUAGCAUUCUCAGCCCCCAAAGUAACUGCUCUCCAAAAAAACUUCAUAUCACUCUCAAAGAAGCCCAUGUUCAUGUAGAGGUCUUCCAGCCAUGGGAAGAAAGAGAGAAAGAGAGAGAUGAAGGGAGGGAGAGAGAAAGAGAGGGAAGGAAGGAGGGAGGGAGGGAGGGAGGGAGGAAGGAAGGAAGGAAGGAAGGAAGGAAGGAAGGAAGGAAGGAAGGAUUAUUUCCAGACAAACUGGCCAUGGGAAAAAGUGCUUUUGUCAGAAAAACAGCAAUAUUUCCAAUCUCCUACCAUAUCUGUAGAAGUCCAGUGUAACCAAAAACAUCUGAAGAAGCCCAAAUCCUCUAUGUCAUGUGGGCAUACUGCCAUUACCAGAUAAGGCAAAACAAGAGGGUGAUUGUUUAUUCUUCUCUUUAGAAGACCCCACGCAUACGGGUUUGAUUUGCCUCUUGCUGUGUACCUUCAACAGGAUGAAUUUAGUUAAAAUUCCAGAGGAUAUGACAUUUUUUUUUUAAACUCAAGAUUGAACUCAGAGGUAUUACAUCUCCAGCCCAUUUUAUGUUUUAUUUUGAGACAACCUCUCACUAAGUUGCUUGGGGCCUUACUAAGUUUUUGAGGUUGGUCUUAAACCUGCAAUCCUCCUGUCUCAGCCUCCUGAGCCACUGGGAUUACAGGUGUGCACACACCACAUCAGGGGAUUUGUUCCCUCGUCCUCUUGCCUGUGCCUAGCUAUACUUCACCCAUCCCUCACCGUGCCAUUUACACACAGAGCCAUGGUAAAACUCCCCUGGAUUUGAAUUCCUGGGACAGCAUCUGUGCACAUCCUCAUUCAGACCCAAUUCAUUCCCCAAGUGUGCAUAGUUCAGUUCACCAACCAGAUUCUAGAAUCAAGCAAGACCAAGUCCCUUCUUGUGGCUUCUUAUCCAUCGCCUAUCACAAUGUUGGACUCAUAGCUGGUGUUAAGACCUACUAUGCUCCAUGUUGCCUUCCUCCCCAUUGCUCAGGAUCAGCACCCAGAUAUAAAUUCCCUCUGCACCAAGGCAUGGCCUAUCAUGGCGGAAUAGAAAUAUGAAAUUAGGUUCCCAAAGCAUUCAACAGUACCACUGAUUCUGCUAUAAUUUGGCUGUAGAUUCCUAAAAAUAACCUGUUUUAUUAGGAAUUCCAACAUUAAAAUAGUCGUUUCAGUGGUUGGGGAAAGAGAUUAGGAUUAGAGUUUCAGACAUAUUAUAUGUUACAUAAUUUAUAAUGUAUAUAUUCAUUGAUCAAAAUUGACUAAACGAACCCAAAAGUUUCAACCCAUGCACUCAGGAAUCUCAUAGUUUUCUCUCCUUUGGAUUUCAUAAUGUGAUUGUUUUUAUUGAGCCCCCAGUCUUAAGCUGGGAGUGAAGCAAAGUAAACCACACUUUAGAAGAGCUCACCAAGGAAAUAGGUAACAGCAUCUUCCCAGGCUUUGCAGGGCCCUACUUUUCUCUUCCUUUUGGGGAUCCAGUUCCUUAUCCAUCUAUUGUAACCAAAAAUAGAUAAUGCAAAAAUGAACACCUCAUAUCUAUUUUUCAGUAGGAAGACUCCUAGUAUUGAAAAACAACUGAACUCCAGGCUCAAAAUUAAAUUUAGGCUUUCCACAUCAAUCACUGACUUCCUGGGACCAAAUCAAUGAUGAUUCUGCAGGAAGUCUAUGUCCAUAUAGACAUGAGUCUUGCCCACUUCCAACCAGCCCCUCUAUAGCAGGCAUAAUUCUGCAGGUUACAUUAAAGGGGCCUGAAGCCAUGCCUUCAAGGCAGCUCCACAUAACACAUAGGGUUGUGGUUUCUUGAAGGAAUGUCAUCAACAAUGAAAACUUGGUGGUCUCCUGAGAAAGGUGGGAAUAAAAAUCUGUCAUCUGGUGCAUCUCCUAAAGAAUUUGCCAAACCCACCCUAGAUGUGUGGAUGAAAAGUAUUACUUCCUUGUCAUCAGUGAAGGCUACUGAUUCCUUUUAGCACUGACAUAUUGAUCUGAGCUCAUUUGGGAUUUUAACUAAAAAGUUUAGAUAGCAGGUGUUCUUACUGACUCAUUCUAAGUCAUGUUGGGACCCAGGGAAAGCCAAACCUGCUGGAUUAUUAGCACUAUCACACUGCUAAGAACUCAACCUGGAAGAUACAGACCACCUCCACAGCAUCUCCAGGAAGCUUUUGGUAACACCACUUCACAGAUGAGAAAACCAAGGCUUAGGUUGGUUAAAUAUUGCUAUUGUCUAAAUGUUUUUAUCCUCCUAUAAUUCAUAUGCUAGAAUGCAAUACCCAAAGUGAUGUCUAAGAGGUAGGGCCUUUGGAGAAGUGUUUAAGUCCUAAGGGCACAGCUCUCAUGAAUGAUUAGUUCCCUCACAAAAGAAGCUCAAGGGAGCUCCCUUGCACCUCUGAAAUGGAGAAAGCCAGAUCUCACCAGAUACCAAAUCUGCUGGCACCUUGAUCUUAGAUUUCCAUCCUCCAGAACGGUAAAUAAUGAAUUUCUGUUAUUUGUAAAUUACCCAGUCUACGAUAUUUUGUUAGAGCAACCCAAGUAGACAAGGCAAGUAUCUUGCUUAAGGAUAUAGGCCUGGUAAAUUUUGUGAAAUUGGGAUUCAAACCUAGGCCCUCUGAAAGGACCUUAAUCUGAACCACUACACCAUAUUGCCUUUUCUAUAUCAGCUGUGAGGACAAGGGUAGAAAGGACAACCGGUGAUUUCCCUGUCAGCUCUACCUAAAGGAUACUUUUUUUCCUUAUGCCUUUCUCCUCAUGUUGCAUCUGCUCAACCUACCUCUGAUUUCAACCACAGUCUUGGUAGACAUUUCUAUGAAUCUUAGAUUGAUUUUCUCCUUUCCUGCCUCCUUUGAAGGUACGGGAACCCACACAGUCCAUGUUCAAGCCAGCUUGCAAGUCCCUAGCCAGUGAGAACUGAUGGGGAAAUGUUCAGCCUCCAUCUUACCAAUGGACACUCCACAUGCUUCCCAUCAGAACUGUGUGGCCCAGCUCCCAUUGCCCACAGCAUCAGCCUGAAUAAUACACUCUUAUAUUGGCUUUCUCCUUUUUUCCACACUCACCCCUUCCCCUCACUCAUGUGUCUUAGGUUCAACUCCCAAAAAAAACCUAUUUGUACCUAAGAUCUACUCUCAGGCUUUCUUUUGGGGAACCAAACUAAGACAUCCACUUUUGAGGCUUGAUGAACUGGACAUUUUCUUAUAACUCCUUCCCCGUCUAUUAUUCAGUGACUUCUACAUCACACACAUAUUUCUGCAGUCUUCCACUUAUUUAGUCCUGAAUCAAGGUAUAGAGGAGUUCUGCUAUGGUAGAACGUGAAGACACAAACACAGGACAUGGUGUUAGGACUUACCUAAAGGUGCUUGGGUGUGAGCUACUGGAUCUGUGUUUCUACCUAGAUUUACAGAGAAGUGUCUGUUUAUCUGGGAAGACUUAUUCUACUCACUAGUCUGCACAGAAGCUUGGCAUGAUUCUCUAUCAAAUUAUCCAGAAAGACAGUCUAGUCCUGCUAUUACAUUUGGUUGUGCUUCCAUCCAGUCUGGACAAGUCUUGAAGAACAAUCGACAGGUUCUUUUCUUCCAAGUAAAAUAUUCUAAGGCCAACUCCUUUCUGGUAUUAUGAUCUUACAGGCAUUCUGGAUGACAGUUGGCAGGCCCCCCAGACCCCCGUGGAUAUGUAUAAAGAAUAGGUAGGCAAUGAGUAAGAAGAGACACAACAUUCAUCUGGUCCAAAUUUAUCCUUUCACAGAUGAGAAAAGUGAAUUUCCCAGAGAAUUAUUGAAUCAUACAGCACACCUUCCAGCCCGUGAAGGCCAGCCCAGGCCUCCCCAUACAGGUCUGCUUCCAUUGAGAAGCAGCUAACAAUCAGCCAGUCGCUGACCAUCAGUGAAUAUGAUACAACACCUUUCCCAGAUAUCAGCAAGACUCCCACCUUCCCAUAUAAAUAGUAAUGAAAAAGCUAAGAGUCCCUCUGAAAUUGCCAUGCAGACAAUAACAGAGGCAAUUGUUGUAUAAUAAUCAUAGACUUGCAGUGUUUGAGAACUUGAAAGAGGCUCUGUUGUUCACUGUUAAGGGUCACUAAUUUGGAAAAACUAUGAAUUUGUUUAAAUUCUGGUAAGCUGCAAUUUAAAAUUUUGCAUUUCUCCAAAUAUUUUAUUUUUCACUAUGUUAAGUGCUCCAAAUAUAUUACAUGUUCUUUACUUCCUAGGUAUAACUAUCAUGCCCUCAAAUCCCUAUAGAGUCACCAUAAGCUCAGAGUUAAUACAAUAACAUUCAAGAAAAAUAAUAAAAUCCAUGUUUAAAAUUCUCAGCAAAUAGAAAGAUUGUAAAUAUUUCUUUAGUGUUCUUCAACAGUGAUGUUAUUGUCUUAAGACUUAUUUCCAGUGAACUGAUCAUUAUUAAGGAGGUUAGUUAUUCUUUCCUUUGUUUUCUAAUUGUAGUAAAAGAUGCAUAACAUAAAAUUACCAUCUUGACCAUUUUAACUACACAGUUUAGUAAUGGUUAGUAUAUUGACAUAUCUCCAGAACUUUCUCAUCUUGCAAAACUAAAAGUCUAUACCCAUUCAACAACUCCUUCUUUCUGCCUCUCCCCAUCCCACCACAGCCACCAUUCUACCUUCUGUUUCUAUGACUUCAACUAUUCUCAGUGCUUCGUAUGAGUGAAUUCAUACAGUAGCUGUGGUUUUAUGUCUGGCUUACUGAACUUGGCAUAGUGUCCUUGCUAUGAUUUUUAUAAGUGCUUCCAAAGUUCCAUGAGUUAAAGUCUUUGUCACUUGCCUGUGGCAACUUUAGGUGAAAAAUUUAGAGUGGGGCCCAGUGGAAGGAAGUUCAGUUGCUGUGGCCAUGUCCUCACAGGAGAUAUUAGGACUCCAGCCCCUUCCCAUCUCUCUCAGGUAUAUAUCAGAUAUAUAUUCUCAUUUUCUCUCCCCCACCAUGGCUCCUUCAAUUGCUGAACAGCUUCCUCCACCACACAGUCCCUCCAUGAUGUACUGCCUCACCACAGGCUCAAAAGCAAUGGGUCCAACCAAUCAUGGACUGAAACCUCCAAAACUGUGGGUUAACAUAGGCUUUCCUUCCUCUUAAGUCGAUUUAUCUCCAGUAUUUGUUAUAGCAAUGGAAAAGCUGACCAACAGUCCUCAGUGUUCAUUCAUAUAGGAGCAUAUACUAGAAUUUCUUCCGUUUUCAAGGCUGAGUAAUACUCCACUGUAUACAUUUAACACAUUUUGUUUAUUCAUUCAUCCACCCCAGGGCUUCUGCCCCUUGGCUAUUAUGAAUACUGCUACUGCAUAUAUAGGUGCACUAACAAAUUGCUUUAAAUUAUAAUAAAUUGGUUACAUUCUGUAGUGUUCCUUCUAGCUUAUUGUCUUACUUUCCUGUUUUUAAGAAAAGCUAACUCUUAGACUGGGUUUGUAGCUCAGUGGUGGAGUGCUUGCCUCUCACGUGUGAGGCACUGGGUUCAAUCCUCAGCACCACAUAAAAAUAAAUAAAUAAAAUAAAGGUAUUGUGUUUAUCUGCAACUAAAACAAAGUUUAAAAAAUAACUUUAAAAAGAAAGAAAGAAAAGCUAACUUUAGUCCCUCCUAUUUGAUUAUCCACAGCUUUGUCAACCUGUUGGCUGAACAGUCAUGAACAAGUAUGGCCAUUCAUCUCACAGAACCAAUGAAAAAGCAAUUUGCCUACCAAGAAAUAGUCUAAACAGGGCCUGGGAUCACAAAACUCAUCAAGUGGUGACAAAGUUCUAUGUGGAGGUAAUAAAAGCAGAGUGAUUCUAAGUGGCUGGGAUCAGAUUCCCAGUUCUAUCCUUCACCAGCUGUAUGACCUUGAGAAAGUUACUUAACCUCUCUACGCCAAAUUCCUAAUCCCUGAAACAGAAUACCAUGACUCUACAUGUCUGGGGUAACGGGGAAGAAUAAAUGAAAUAAUCUAUGUAAAGAAUUUAGCCUGGUAUCUGGCAUACAGUAAGUGCUACAUAAUUGUCAAUCUUUAUUCUGUGGUUACAGAUCACCAUUCCAACUCCCUCAGUUCACAGAUGAGACCCAAGAAGAUGAGGAUGCACAAAGAACUAAGUUGUGUGUGUGUGUGUGUGUACCCCUUGUUUGGCAUAAAAAUCUGGCAACCAGGUCUUUAUUAUGUUUUUAACCAAAAUAGUCUUGUUUAUCUCAAAACUUUGAUUUAAAAAAUAACAUAUCGUUUAACUUAAAUUUGACCCUUCACCCACAGGCUUGAAAAGGAAAACUAAGAAACAGGAACUGACAAUUUAAAACAAAAAAAAUAAAUUUGAUAAAGACCAAGCAAGCAGUACAUACAAACCUUUCCACCUUUUUGCUAAGAAAACCCCUUGCCUUGUGCUUUUAAAUCUUGUUUAAAAUACAUCCAGUUUUCUCUUGCUUUCACAUCAGGUGCGGAUCAUCACAAGCCUCAUCCAAAGCCACCACAUCUUAAACAACCACCCCUGCCUCAUUGGCCUGUUCACAGGUCACACUGAGCUGUGGCCCUUGAGCUCUAGUAAAUAUAUGUGGGCAGUUUAUUGGACACUGGUCCAAGGCUUCAGAGCAACUCGAGAACUACAUUCAGAUAGAAUUCAGCACUUCUGCUCUGCCAGGCAAGUGAUUCCCUCAUCUCUACUGCUGCAGAGCAACUCCUGUGGCUGCACUUGACUGAGCAUCUUAUCAAAGAACAAGAACAUCAGGCCACCUUCCUUUGCUCCUGUUGACCAUUGGUGCCCUUAGCCCAGGAGCUAUCCAGCAGGUGAGUAGUUAGCAACACUGGCUGUGCACUAGAAUCA
Molecule: long non-coding RNA, 69955 nt
Filed under: Marmota monax (woodchuck)
Lineage: Eukaryota; Metazoa; Chordata; Mammalia; Rodentia; Sciuridae
Rfam family: tRNA (bases 5292-5349)
Source: RNAcentral